This 52609-nucleotide long non-coding RNA is filed under the name Triticum aestivum (bread wheat). Its description in RNAcentral is "long non-coding RNA (TAES_LNC017466)". Lineage: Eukaryota; Viridiplantae; Streptophyta; Magnoliopsida; Poales; Poaceae. The record is from RNAcentral.
UUUUUUUGUUUGUUUAUUUUGUCCUCAAUUUCUUUCAGUAAAUAAGUAGUAAAUAAAUAGUGCAUGCAUUGAUGAUGUAAAACUCAAAUUUUUUCUCUAUUUCAUUUUCGUUUGCUCGUUGAAGCAGAUCCCACCUCACAUGCUCCCAUUAUAUGAGAAGCAGAAGAAGUUGCAUGCAGCAGAAGUGAAGAAUGUUCUGACAUCGUUCGGCCAGAUAAUGCAGUCAAUUUUCUGCAAGAGUGUAGCACGUAUUUUGGUUGAAGCAAACUCCAUUGCUGCAACUUCCAAGGUACACAUGUUUGAAGGUGUUACUUUUGAUGUUCCAGCAAGCAAUGCAGCAGGAGCAUGUGACACCAGGGCUCCACCCCAAACUAGCCCUGCAGUUCACAUGGGUGCCACAACACAAGAAGCCGAGGUUGAGAUGGAAGCUGCAGGUUGUCCCGACACCAACCAGAAUGUGUAAGGGAACGCGACAAAAAACAAAAAAAAUCGACCUACGCACCAGCCCAGGACCACUAUGGAGACUGCAUACAUGGUUUGAUCUUUUUCGUUACCGACUCGUAGCGCAGCGGAAGUAGAGUCGAUGACGAACGGCGGUGCAGAUCCCCGCAGCUAGGAUUUACAACCUCCCAACCGCGAGGAUGUAUACCCUCAUCCGCCCUACGGACAGCCCUCCGGGAGGCGGUCGGACAGUCCCUCGGGCGGUGUCGUGGACAGCCCUUCGGGAGGACCCUCAAAACUCGGACAGUCACUCGGACAGCCCUUCGGGAGGAUUCACAGAACUCGGAACGUCACUUGGACAGCCCUUCGGGAGGCACUCUCAAAACAGCCCCUCGGGCAAAAGGAUCGAAACUACGACCUCUCUACGGGGUUGCACACAUACGGUGUCAUCUAUCCGGCAGGGCUUCGCCGUCCAGAACUAGUUCCCACCGGAACCCAGACAGCCUUUCGGCUCUAUGAAACUAUUUCGCUGGGAGAGAGAGAGAAGCCAGAUCAUGCAUGGCACUUGUAUGUGAGAAGGGAUGAUGGUUUGGGCAGCCCCUCACCUCCUAUUUAUAGGAAAACCAAGGGGUAGUGUGCCUCUACAAAUACCCAAAGUGCCCAUGCUUUAUGUCAUACAUAAGGGCAAAAUGGGGAGGCAAGUGGAGCACAAAAUGGUGGAAGGAAGCCACAUGGGGGCCCCCCAAUGGCACCAACGAAAUUGGCAGCCCUCUUGGGUGGCUCCACCACCUUCAUAUCCAUCCAUGUCAUCCCAAAAGAUCUUGGGACAAAGCCCAAAAUAAUGGCUUUCCAUAAAAUAUCCCUAAAAGCACUUUCACUAUUCACGACGACAUUUUUCGGCGUCCGUUCGAACUGAAAAUAUUCAUGUGGGCUUAGCAUUUCCGGUACCCACCAUAAUGAUUUUCAACGCAUUCUAGAACAAUUCCAGCUAGUGAUUUUCAUCUGCGAAAAGCAUCUGAACCGGUUCCGGCAGCUUCGAAACAUUUUCGGUUUUUAUUUCUGAAAAUUCCAAAAAGUUUCCAGAAUGACUCUGGCACCCUCCAAGAAUUAUCAGGCAUGUGCCGAAACCAUUUUGACUUAAUGGCAUACCCCGAAACAACUUUUUCGGUUUCACCAGAACUCAUCCUGUGACCUCUCUUUUCAGAACUUUCUGAUGUCUCCGAAAAACUUUUUCCGAAAACUUUCUCUCAGACUCCCUGUCUAGUAUUCAGCAGAUAGAUGACCCUUAAGCGUGUGACCCUAUAGGUUCGGUGAAGUAUAGACAUGACCAGGAACUCCUUCCGAUCAAUGAUCAACAUCGGAGCCGUGGACACCCAUAUUGACCCCUAUACCCACACGAAUGAAUAUUCGAGUGAACCUCCAGUUGACGUGUGUUAUUCCUGUUGCUUCGUGAUAUGUUACGAAUACCCGAGGUGAGACAUGUUGGCAUCCCUGUGGAUCAACUCCUUGUCCACUAUGCCAUUUACCUCGUUACCGGUAUUGUUCUCUUUUCUCGUUCCGUGUUUCGGCAUCCCCGUGAUCAAAUCACCCUUUGUCUGGCCAGACGAUGAUGGAUACCGUAACACCGAGAGGGCCCAGAGAUAUCUCUCCAUCGACGGAGGAGCAAAUCCCAAUCUUGAGCUAUCAAGUUACUUAACAUACCUUUCCAUGAACCCGUAAGCCGCCGUAAUAGCCACCCAUUUACGGAUGACGUUUAACAAACCCCAAAGUUCAUGAAGCAAGCAUGAAGAAACUCGAUACUCUCAUGGUCUAAGGAAUUAUGCAAACAUAAACUUCCUGUGUUAUUAAGCAUUAACUUGUGACGAAUGUAUCUCAUAGCAUAACAUCAAUUCGGGUCAAUUCAACACAAAUGUUCCUCUAACAUUGUGCCCUCAAAGUUGCUGGCAUAGACAUGCCCAUGAUCAGGAAAACAGAACCAUCAUGCAACACUUGAGCUAGUCUUAGAGGCCAGACUAGGAAUACAUUUUAUCAUUUAUUAUUCCCCACGUGCAUAUGAGUCUUCCUCCGAGCCUUGUUUUAUUUGCAGACUCGAGAACCAUAGCAGUUAUAGCAUGGAAUAUAAACCUAAUUAUGAACAGGGAGAUAAUCAAUAACAUUUAUUAUUGCCUCUAGGGCAUAUCUCCUACAGACUCCCACUUGCACUAGAGUCAAUAUCUAGUCAAUGCUAAUGCACUUUACACCUAUGGCAUACUGGUGUAGAAAAUGCUUCGCUUGUGGUAUAGCCUAAUGUCCAACGGAUCUGACGACUUCAGCUCCGUGUGUAUCUUUGCAUAUCCUCACAUUUUCACGCUUUCACAAAAUUCAUAUUUUGUGUGGACUUGGCUUUUAUGUAUGUGAAUCACAGGUCGAACUUGGAUUCCUCAGACUGAGUUAUGGAGAAACUACCUGGAGUAGUGUCCCAUUGACAAAAUCCAUCUUGGAACCAUACUAAGUUCAUGAAUGAACUAUAUGAUUCAACAUCUUGUUUGUCGCUUCUAAAGCGUCAACAUACUUAGUCAUUUGUUAUAGAAUUCGCCACAGUAUCCUGUUGGGAACAAUUUCCAACUAACGUGCCACCAUAUUGUGUAUUACACAAAACCCUUAACUUAAAUCGAAAAUCGCAUGGAGAAAAGAUGAAGACUGUAUCAAUGUAACAUUUUACAACGAACUCUUCAUGAUCUCCGCUUGCGAGAAAACAUAUCAUCAGUACUUACUCUAGUACUCAAUGACAUCUUUCACUGUUGUCCCACGAUCAGUACUUUGAUCACUUUAGUAUCCAUACUCGCAACACCUUGGGAGUAUCAGACAUAUCUGGUUGUUUUACAUAGCAUGGAAUACAUGAUUAAUCCAAACACAAAAGUGUGUGGAAUCUGCAUCAUGUAUUUUGCUCAUCAGUGUUUUGGGACACCGAGUCUUGCAAAAAACUCUUCCAUGUGACUCCGGCAAGAAUCACUCCUUGGCGGUUUUAAAUGCUAAAAGGUUUUAGCACCUUGUCAAUAUGUAUUCAUUUGCUUAGCCCUAUUAGGUAAAUCUAUCUCCAUAGAUCAUUAUGCCUAAUAUUGAGGCUAUUUAGCCUAAGCACUUCAUCAAAAAACUAUUUUCAAAUGAAGUCCUAAUUCGUGUGAAGAAAUUUAUUUCCAAUUAACAAUGUGUCAAGCACACAAGGUUUUUAGAAAUAUUAUUACGCUCUCACUUACUUUCUUGAAUUACAAGCAUCUUCGUUACCCAUUGAUGAAGUCAAACCCCUUUGACCAUUUCAUCAAAGCACGAAGAUUCCAACUCCAUUUUGCUCUCUUCUGUCCAUCGCUGGAACUCUGAAGUUUGCACCCUUACUAGCAUCCUCUGGAUAGACAAAAUGCCUUGGACUGUAACACAUGCAAGUCCUUGGUUUCAUUUCCAUCAGAUGGAAAUCCUAUUGUCAUCCAUGUUUCAUAUCUCAUGAUUGAAAUAUGUAUUAAUUGCUAGUUCAACCCGAACCGACUUAAAGCAUCGCUACAAUGAAAACAACCUCAUCGUAGUCAACUCUUGAACUUGUUAUUUCAACAAGUCGAGCUUUAUGGAUAAAACAUUCUUAUCCGUAUCAGUUUUAAGUUCCAUAAAUAUUCGUUAGACUCUAAGUCUUCCAAAAGGUGUAUCAAGGUUUUAAUCUUGAAUCACUUAUAUGGAAACUAACUCGGGUUGUAUUGGCAUUUAGCCAAUUCCAGAGUCAGGGCCCAUCAAAGCUUCCUUGUGUAUCGUAGGUAUAAUGUUGUCUAACAACAAUAUCUCGUUUGCGCACCUGAGAGGUUUGCACGAGCCUUGCCUACGUGGUUUAGCUGCAAGUUCGACCGAAGUUCAUACAUUUUAUUGUAGAGACUUCCGUAUCAGUCGCAGUAGGAAACUCUGGAAUUACUUCCAAGGUCUCUUUCCUUUGAUCUGAUGACGAAGAUACUGUUUAUCUCGUCGAGUUGCACUAUUCUCCCACUCACCUUUUUGAAAGAACCAUUCUCUUUAAAAGCACACCGUUUCGCGGCAAAACUAUUUGCCUCGGUAUAGUGAGGGAGGAAUACCCAACAUUUUGGUAUAACCUACAAAGUAGCACUUGUCUGAUUUGGAAUAGGUUUGUAACCUUUUACCCAAGACCCAUAUUCCAAAUGUUAAGAAAAGGUAUAACAUGGUUGGGCGUACCAUACCAUGGCUUCAUUUCAACAGACUCGAUGUAGCUCUUUUCAGUGUAAAAGCCGCAGUCUCUAAAGCAUCACUUUAAAAGGGAUAAUGGCAAAUUUAUUUAUGUCAUCUUUGACCUUACCAUGUCAUAAAUGGUUAGAUUACAUCUCCACGGACUUUCCACUUGCAGUGGUGUUCCGGGAGGUGCAAGUUAUGAAACCCCUUUCACAACUCAUCAGACAUUCGCUAAACAUGCAACUCAAAUAUUCCUUUGUGCAAUCAAAUUGCAGAAACAUAAUUUUCUUGUUACAAUAAAUUCUACUUCAUUUUUGAAAACCUUUCGAAUGAUUUCAAAAGAUCCAGACUUAUGUCUCAUCAAGUAAAUAUCCAUAUAUCUACUUGAGUCAUUUCUGAAGAUAAACAAAUCCACCACUUGCAACAACAUUUAUUGAACUACACACAUCAAAAUGUAUGAUCACCAAUAAGUUUGUUGCUCGUUCCUUAUGGCCCGUGAACGGUAUUUCAGUCACUUCACUUUUUGGAGGAAAGUUGCAAGUGUCAGAUGAUUCAAAAUCAAACGACUUCAAAAUCCAUCAUAAUGGAAUUUUUCCAUGCGGGUUUCUCCAAUGCGACCAAAUGCAGUGCCACACAUGUGUGGUAUUCUCAUAGUCUUGUGACAUUUAGCGUCAGCGUUAUGGUUGUAUCAUUUUACCAUCAAUAUUCAUAACAUACAUCCCAUCUUGGAUGGAAGCAUGGCCCUUCAUGUUAUUCAUAAUACUGAACAUCAAAAGUUCUCUUAUGAACAACCUUCUUGCAAGAUACCUUGUGCUAAGGGCUAGAGUGUAAGAAACUCUAAAAUGAACUAUGAAAGUAAACACAGAGGUAAUAUAUUAAUAUCAUUAUUUAUAACAUACAUCUCAUUCACAAUGAAAGUAUGGCCCUUAUGUUUAUUCAUAAUACUGAACAUCAAAAGUUCUCUUAUGAACAACCUUCUUGCAAGAUACCUUGUGCAAAGGGCUAGAGUGUAAGAAACUCUAAAAUGAAUUAUGAAAGAAAAUACAUAGGUAAUACACCGAUGGAAGGUAUAGUAACUUUUACUAUGUUCCCAACACGUAUUAAAACCUCAUUCCUGGCUAGUCUUUUUAGGCCAUAGUAGCUCUUACAUUGAUUCGCAACAUAAUGCAAUCGAGCGGGUAUCUUUGUGAUUAACUCACAAUACCCAAGAAUUAGUGAUUAACAUGUUUAACCAUAAUUCCCAAGAACUAUAUCUUUGACCAGCCUACUAUACAUCAAAAACUUGUAUGACAUUCAUACAUGAGCUGGAUAUUCCAGUCAUGUUUCUUUCUGCCUUUAUACUUCUAACAGUUUAACUUUUAGUAUUUCUCCUACUCGCAAAAGAAGCACCCAACUUAAGAGUGGCGUUAGCCCCGGACUUCCUAGGCGUGUAAGUCAUACUAACACCCUUUGGACACUUCCUUUCUCUUUAAGUUGUUGUUUUAUUCACCUUUCAUUAUAUGACAGGCGUUCUUCUCGAUCCCUUUCCCAACAGUCAAAUGCAUAGUAAACACUUUUACUAAUACUUGCAAACAAACAUUGCUUUGUUUGUAUCUGAAAAUAAUUUUCAGUUCCAUGAAUAUCAUAUAACUAUCCCAACUUUCGAAGUUUGGGUUUCAUGGAAGCAAACAUAUUCCACUUGACCGUAACAGAAUUCUAGCUUUUGGAUCGAAGGACGAGAGUCACAUGAUCCAUAGCAUUAGCGGGAGGAUACGGAAAGCAUGCGAUAGGACAAAGUCCUUCUCGGCACUUUUGAGGACAAUCCUCACAUUACGUUACCAAUCGUAAAGUUUUAACCAGAUAUUUAACAGCUAUUCAAUUUUAACAGGGAAGGUGGAAACGCGAGCCAUUAUUCUACAACUAUUUUGCAAGAAACACUUAGACAGUGUUCAUAAUUAAUUGCACUGAGAAUUAAACAUGUUAAUUCAAUAGUGCGCUCCCACUCAAAUCAAUAUCUCUCAAAAUUGAUUAUGAGUGACACAAGACCCGCAUAUCCAUUCAACGCCAUUGAACGAGAUGAACACUGAUGGCGCGAAAUUCAAUCGGUAGGCAAACUUGCUGAUCACAUCUCUAUGUGACUCUUGUUCAUCUUUCGAUGGACGUGUUCCGAGCUCAGGGAGAUCCUUCCAGAACAUCAAGACAACCAAGUGAUCUUGUUGUGAGGUCUCAACUCACCCGCCUCACACUUCCCUAAUCGUUCGUACCCAGGGAGAUCCUGCGAUACCCCGAAAAGUUAGGUGCUGUGACGGUGCUACACUUGGGAGAACACUAACUACUUGAUAUUUUUGUGAGAGAUCACCCUAAUAAAAGCGACUACCGCGCAAUCAAGAAGGGUGCAUCAUAAGGGAUAAACAUCUCAGGCAAUUCAUCAUUAGCAUGAUAUGGUAUAGCCCUUUCUGACGAGGAAGUCUUCUAUUUCUUCGUCUUUCGGCGUUCGCGUUGGUGUUUACCUUCGCGAAGAUUGCCACCACCUUGUCGAUGCACCAGAUAAUAUUGUUAUCUCUAUAGCUAAUAAAAUAAGUGCAUUACUUAAGGUUGACUCGCAGGUCAUUAAAGUGCAAUCAUAUGGCUCCAGCCAUCAUGCCGAAUCAUGACACACAUGUCAUGUUUAAUCAAUUUACAUUAUAUAGUCAUCUCAUACAUAAUCAAAUUAUUAUGAGCACUGCUAUACCACAUCAUAUGCACAUGCAAACCCUCCUGCAAAACCAAGUUAUACGUUUCUAAUUGGUUCAUGCAAAAACUUGUUUUUCGUGGCUUCUAAGGUUUCGAAACAAACCGAAGCUACCAACGUCCAUCAUCAAGUAUGAUUAUCCAUGUCGCUAGAUUAGCAUUGCGGGGUGUAUGAAACACGAGAUAAUAAAAUCUCGAGCCCCAUACUGAACUUCGUCAUAAGCAUGACCCCCGUGCAGAUCAUAUCUGCAUUGCCCUUUCGUCUGCUAAAUUUCAUCUUUGUUUUUAACUACGAUGGAAUUCAAUGAACUGUUAGCACUUCGUUGAUCAAUCAGGAUCGCAGAUUGCCAGAACAUUGAAACUCCACCAUACUGUUAUCAAGAUCAGAAAUAUGCAAAUUCCAGAGAAGCUACAAGAACAUCGGGUAACAGAUUUCAUCUGUCACCCGCAUAAAUAAUUUUCAGCAAUAGAUCUCAUCUACUACCUAAUUAUAUUAUGCAAUACCCAUACAUCUCUAUGUAUUCGAGAUCGCAACCUGCAUCUACGCAUAGCACGGCUCAUGAUGCCACUGUAAGGGAACGCGACAGAAUACAAAAAGUUUCCGACCUAUGCACCAGCUUGUUGGAAAUAUGCCCUAGAGGCAAUAAUAAAAUGGUUAUUAUUAUAUUUCCUUGUUCAUGAUAAUUGUCCAUUGUUCAUGCUAUAAUUGUAUUAACUGGAAAUCGUAAUACAUGUGUGAAUACAUAGACCACAACAUGUCCCUAGUGAGCCUCUAGUUGACUAGCUCGUUGAUCAAUAGAUGGUUAUGGUUUCCUGACCAUGGACAUUGGAUGUCAUUGAUAACGGGAUCACAUCAUUAGGAGAAUGAUGUGAUGGACAAGACCCAAUCCUAAGCAUAGCACAAGAUCGUGUAGUUCGUUUGCUAAGAGCUUUUCUAAUGUCAAGUAUCAUUUCCUUAGACCAUGAGAUUGUGCAACUCUCGGAUACCGUAGGAAUGCUUUGGGUGUACCAAACGUCACAACGUAACUGGGUGGCUAUAAAGGUACACUACAAGUAUCUCCGAAAGUGUCUGUUGGGUUGGCACGAAUCGAGACUGGGAUUUGUCACUCCGUAUGACGGAGGUAUCUCUGGGCCCACUCGGUAAUGCAUCAUCAUAAUGAGCUCAAUGUGACUAAGUAGUUAGUCACGGGAUCAUGCAUUACGAAACGAGUAAAGUGACUUGCCGGUAACGUGAUUGAAUAUUGGGAUACUGACGAUCGAAUCUCGGGCAAGUAACAUACCGAUUGACAAAGGGAAUUGUAUACGGGAUUGAUUGAAUCCCCGACAUCGUGGUUCAUCCUAUGAGAUCAUCGUGGAACAUGUGGGAGCCAACAUGGGUAUCCAGAUCCCGCUGUUGGUUAUUGGCUGGAGAGAUGUCUUGGUCAUGUCUGCAUGAUUUCCGAACCCGUAGGGUCUACACACUUAAGGUUCGAUGACGCUAUGGUUAUAGGGAAUAUAUGUACAUAGUUACCGAAUGUUGUUCGAAGUCCUAGAUGAGAUCCAAGACGUCACGAGGAGUUCCGGAAUGGUCCGGAGGUAAAGAUUUAUAUAUGGGAAGUCCCGUUUUGGACACCGGAAGUGUUCUGGGCAUUAUCGGUAACGUACCGGGACCACCUGAAGGGUUCGGGGGUCCACCGGGAGGGGCCACCAACCCCGGAGGCCUACGUGGGCCAAGUGUGGGAAGGGACCAGCCCCUAGGUGGGCUGGUGCGCCUCCCACAAGAGGCCCAAGGCGCAGGGAAGGGGGGAAGGGGGAAACCCUAGGCUCAGAUGGGCCUAAGGCCCACCUAGGGUGCGCCCCCCCUCUCUCCCCCUCUGCCCCCCCCCCCAGAUGCAUCUAGGGCUGGCCGCCACCCCUAGGGGGGGAACCCAAGAUGGGGGCGCAGCCCCUCCCCUUCCCCUAUAUAUAGUGGGGGUUUUGGGGCUGCCAUAGACACGAGUCUCCCUCUCUCUUGGCGCAGCCCUACCCCUCUCCCUCCUCGUCUCUCGCAGUGCUUGGCGAAGCCCUGCUGGAGUGCCACGCUCCUCCACCACCACCACGCCGUCGUGCUGCUGCUGGACGGAGUCUUCCCCAACCUCUCCCUCUCCCUUGCUGGAUCAAGGCGCGGGAGACGUCACCGGGCUGCACGUGUGUUGAACGCGGAGGCACCGUUGUUUUCUGCCGCGAUCUGAAUCGCUUCGUGUACGACUCAACCGACCGCGUUCUAGCAAUGCUUCCGCAUUGCGAUCUUCAAAGGCAUGAAGAUGCACUCCCCUCUCUCUCGUUGCUAGUUACUCCAUAGAUUGAUCUUGGUGAUGCGUAGAAAAUUUUUAAUUUCUACUACGUUCCCCAACAGUGGCAUCAUGAGCUAGGUCUAUGCGUAGAUUCUAUGCACGAGUAGAACACAAGUAGUUGUGGGCGAUGGUUUGUUCAAUUUGCUUACCGUUACUAGUCCUAUCUUGGUUCGGCGGCAUCGUGGGAUGAAGCGGCCCGGACCGACCUUACACGUACGCUUAUGUGAGACAGGUUCCACUGACUGACAUGCACUAGUUGCAUAAGGUGGCUAGCGGGUGUCUGUCUCUCCCACUUUAGUCGGAUCGGAUUCGAUGAAAAGGGUCCUUAUGAAGGGUAAAUAGCAAUUGGCAUAUCACGUUGUGGUUUUGGCGUAGGUAAGAAACGUUCUUGCUAGAAACCUAUAGCAGCCACGUAAAAACUCGCAACAACAAUUAGAGGACGUCUAACUUGUUCUUGCAGCAUAUGUCGUGUGAUGUGAUAUGGCCAAAAGGAUGUGAUGAAUGAUAUAUAAAUAUAUAUGUGAUGUAUGAGAUUGAUCAUGUUAUUGUAAUAGGAAUCACGACUUGCAUGUCGAUGAGUAUGACAACCGGCAGGAGCCAUAGGAUUGUCUUAGUUUAUUGUAUGACAUGUGUGUCAUUGAAUAACGCCAUGUAAUUACUUUACUUUAUUGCUAAACCGUUAGCCAUAGUAGUAGAAGUAAUAGUUGGCGAGACAACUUCAUGAAGACACGAUGAUGGAGAUCAUGGUGUCAUGCCGGUGACGAUGAUGAUCAUGGCGCCCCGAAGAUGGAGAUCAAAAGGAGCAAAAUGAUAUUGGCCAUAUCAUGUCACUAUUUGAUUGCAUGUGAUGUUUAUCAUGUUUUUACAUCUUACUUGCUUAGAACGACGGUAGCAUAAAUAAGAUGAUCCCUCGCUAAAAUUUCAAGAAAGUGUUCCCCCUAACUGUGCACCGUUGCGAAAGUUCGUUGUUUCGAAGCACCACGUGAUGAUCGGGUGUGAUAGAUUCUAACGUUCACAUACAACGGGUGUAAGCCAGAUUUACACAUGCAAAACACUUAGGUUGACUUGACGAGCCUAGCAUGUACAGACAUGGCCUCGGAACACAAGAGACCGAAAGGUCGAACAUGAGUCGUAUAGUAGAUACGAUCAACAUGAAGAUGUUCACCGAUGAUGACUAGUCCGUCUCACGUGAUGAUCGGACACGGCCUAGUUGACUCGGAUCAUGUAUCACUUAGAUGACUAGAGGGAUGUCUAUCUAAGUGGGAGUUCAUUAAAUAAUCAGAUGAACUUAAUUAUCAUGAACAUAGUCAAAAGGUCUUUGCAAAUUAUGUCGUAGCUUACGCUUUAGUUCUAUUGUUUAAGAUAUGUUCCUAGAGAAAUUUUAGUUGAAAGUUGAUAGUAGCAAUUAUGCGGACUGGGUCCGUAAACUGAGGAUUAUCCUCAUUGCUGCGCAGAAGGCUUAUGUCCUUAAUGCACCGCUCGGUGUGCUGAACCUUGAGCGUCGUCUGUGGAUGUUGCGAACAUCUAACAUACACGUUUUCUACGUGAUAGUUCAGUGCGUAAUGCUAACGGUUUAGAAUUGAGGCGCCGAAGACGUUUUUGAAACGUCGCAGAACAUAUGAGAUGUUCCAAAGACUGAAAUUGGGAUUUCAGACUAGUGCCCACAUCAAGAGGUAUGAGACCUCUGACAAGUUUCUUAAGCCUACAAACUAAGGGAGAAAAGCUCAAUCGUUGAGCAUGUGCUGAGAUUGUCUGAGUACUACAAUCACUUGAAUCGAGUGGGAGUUAAUCUUCCAUAUGAGAUAGUGAUGGUUCUCCAAAGUCACUGCCACCAAGCUACUAGAGCUUCGUGAUGAACUAUAACAGAUCAGGGAUAGAUAUGACGAUCCUUGAGCUAUUCGCGAUGUUUGACACCGCGAAAGUAGAAAUCAAGUAGGAGCAUCAAUUGUUGAUGGUUAGUAAAACCACUAGUUUCAAGAAGGGCAAGGGCAAGAAGGGAUACUUCAUGAAACGACAAAUCAGUUGCUGCUCUAGUGAAGAAACCCAAGGUUGAACCCAAACCCGAGACUAAGUGCUUCUGAAAUGAGGGGAACGGUCACUGAAGCACAACUACCCUAGAUACUUCAUAGAUGAGAAGGCUGGCAAGGUCGACAGAAGUAUAUUGGAUAUACAUUAUAUUAAUGUGUACUUUACUAGUACUCCUAGUAGCACCAGGGUAUUAGAUACCGGUUCGGUUGCUAAGUGUUAGUAACUUGGAGUAAACGCAGCGGAAUAAACGGAGACUAGCUAAAGGUGAGAUGACGAUAUGUGUUGGAAGUGUUUCCAAGGUUGAUGUGAUCAAGCAUCGCAUGCUCCCUCUACCAUCGAGAUUGGUGUUAAACCUAAAUAAUUGUUAUUUGGUGUUUGCGUUGAGCAUAGACAUGAUUGGAUUAUGUUUAUCGCAAUACGGUUAUUCAUUUAAGGAGAAUAAUGGUUACUCUAUUUAUUUGAAUAAUACCUUCAAUUGUCUUGCACCUAAAAUGAAUGGUUUAUUGAAUCUCGGUCGUAGUGAUACACAUGUUCAUGCCAAAAGAUAUAAGAUAGUAAUGAUAGUACAACAUACUUGUGGCAUUGCCAUUUGAGUCAUAUUGGUAUAAAACGCAUGAAGAAGCUCCAUGUUGAUGGAUCUUUGGACUCACUCAUUCUUGAAAAGAUUGAGACAUGCAAACCAUGUCUAUUGGUAUAUAUGCAUGAAGAAACUCCAUACAGAUGGAUCGUUUGGACUCACUUGAUUUUCAAUCACUUGAGACAUGCAAAUCAUACCACAUGGGCAAGAUGACUGAAAGGCCUCGUUUUCAGUGAGAUGGAACAAGAGAGCAACUUGUUGGAAGUAAUACAUUUUGAUGUGUGCAAUCCAAUGAGUGUUGAGGCACGCAGUGAAUAUCGUUAUGCUCUUACUUCACAGAUGAUUUGAGUAGAUUCUAAGUAUAUUUACUUGAUGAAACACAAGUCUUAAAUAUUGAAAGGUUCAAGUAAUUUCAGAGUGAAGUUGAAGAUCAUCGUGACAAGAGGAUAAAAUGUCUAUGAUAUGAUCAUAGAGAUAAAUAUCUGAGUUACGAGUUUGGUACACAAUUAAGACAUUGUGGAAAUUGUUUCACAACUAAUACCGCCUGGAACACCAUAGUGUGAUGGUGUGUCCGAACAUCGUAACUGCACCCUAUUGGAUAUAGUGCAUACCAUGAUGUCUCUUAUCGAAUUACCACUAUCGUUUAUGGGUUAGGCUUUAGGGACAACCGCAUUCACUUUAAAUAGGGCACCACGCAAUUCCGUUGAGACGACACCGUAUGAACUAUGGUUUAGAGAAACCUAAGCUGUCGUUUCUUCAGAGUUUGGGGCUGCGAUGCUUAUGUGAAAAAGUUUCAGGCUAAUAAGCUCGAACCCAAAGCGGAUAAUUGCAUCUUCAUAGGACACCCAAAAACAGUUGGGUAUGCCUCCUGUCUCAGAUCUGGAAGCAAAAGGGAUUGUUUCUAGAAUCGGGUCCUUUCUCGAGGAAAAGUUUCUCUCGAAAGAAUUGAGUGGGAGGAUGGUGGAGACUUGAUGAGGUUAUUGAACCGUCACUUCAACUAGUGUGCAGCAGGGCACAGGAAGUUGUUCCUGUGGCGCCUACACCAAUUGAAGUGGAAGCUGAUGAUAGUGAUCAUGAAACUUCAGAUCAAGUCACUACCAAACCUUGUAGGUCGACAAGGAUGCGUACUACUUGAUAGUGGUACGGUAAUCCUGUCUUGGAAGUCAUGUUAUUAGACAACGAUGAACCUAUGAGCUAUGGAGAAGCGAUGGUGGGCCCGGAUUCCGACGAAUGGCUCGAGGCCAUAAAAUCCGAGAGGAUCCAUGUAUGAAAACAAAGUAUAGACUUUGGAAGAACUACUUGAUGGUCGUAAGGCUGUUGGGUACAGAUGGAUUUUAAAAGGGAAAAUGGACAAUGAUGGUAAGUAUCACCAUUAAGAAAGCUCGACUUGUCGUUAAGAUGUUUUCCGACAAGUUCAAGGAGUUGACUACGAUGAGACUUUCUCACUCGUAGCCAUGCUAAGAGUCUGUUGAAAUUAUAUUAGUAGUUACUGCAUUAUUUAUGAAAUCUUGCAGAUAGGAUGUCAAAACAUUGUUUCCUCGACGAUUUUCUUGAGGAAAGGUUGUAUGUGAUACAACCAGAAGGUUUUGCCAAUCCUGAAAGAUGCUAACAAGUAUGCAAAGCUCCAGCGAUCCUUCUAAGGACUGGAGUAAGCAUCUCGGAGUUGGAAUAUGCACUUUGAUGAGAUGAUCAAAGAUUUUGGGUUUAUACAAAGUUUAUGAGAAACUUGUAUUUCCAAAGAAGUGAGUGGGAGCACUAUAGAAUUUCUGAUGAGUAUAUGUUGUUGACAUAUUGUUGGUCGGAAAUGAUGUAGAAUUUCUGGAAAGCAUAUAGGGUUGUUUGAAAAGUGUUUUUCAAUGGAAAACCUGUAUUAAGCUACUUGAACAUUGAGCAUCAAGAUCUAUAAGGAUAGAUCAAAGCGCUUAAUAGUACUUUCAAAUGAAUACAUACCGUGACAAGAUUUUGAAGGAGUUCAAAAUAGAUCGGCAAAGAAGGAGUUCUUGGCUGUGUUAUAAGGUGUGAGUAUUGAGUAAGACUCAAUACCUGACCACGGCAGAAGAGAGAGAAAGGACGAAGGUCGUCCCCUAUGCUUUAGACGUAGGCUCUACAGUAUGCUAUGAUGUGUACCGCACCUGAAGUGUGCCUUGACAUGAGUCAGUCAAGGGGUACAAGAGUGAUCCAGGAAUGGAUCAUAGGACAGCGGUCAAGGUUAUCCUUAGUAACUAGUGGACUAAGGAAAUUUUCUCGAUUAUGGAGGUGGUAAAAGAGUUCGUCGUAAAGGGUUACGCUGAUGCAAACUUUGACACUAAUCUGGAUGACUCUGAGUAGUAGACCGGAUUCGUAUAGUAGAGCAGUUAUUUGGAAUAGUUCCAAAUAGCGCGUGGUAGCUGCAUCUAGGAGAUGACAUAGAGAUUUGUAAAGCACACACAGAUCUGAAAGGUUCAGACCCAUUGACUAAUAACCUCUCUCACAAGCGAGAUAUGAUAAAACACCAUGGGUGUUGGAUUCAUUGCAAUCACAUAGUGAUGUGAACUAGAUUAUUGACUCUAGUGCAAGUGGGAGACUGUUGGAAAUAUGCCCUAGAGGCAAUAAUAAAAUGGUUAUUAUUAUAUUUCCUUGUUUAUGAUAAUUGUCUAUUGUUCAUGCUAUAAUUGUAUUAAUUGGAAACCGUAAUACAUGUGUGAAUACAUAGACCACAACAUGUCCCUAGUGAGCCUCUAGUUGACUAGCUCGUUGAUCAAUAGAUGGUUAUGGUUUCCUGACCAUGGACAUUGGAUGUCAUUGAUAACGGGAUCACAUCAUUAGGAGCAUGAUGUGAUGGACAAGACCCAAUCCUAAGCAUAGCACAAGAUCAUGUAGUUCGUUUGCUAAGAGCUUUUCUAAUGUCAAGUAUCAUUUCCUUAGACCAUGAGAUUGUGCAACUCUCGGAUACCGUAGGAAUGCUUUGGGUGUACCAAACGUCACAACGUAACUGGGUGGCUAUAAAGGUACACUACAUGUAUCUCCGAAAGUGUCUGUUGGGUUGGCACGAAUCGAGACUGGGAUUUGUCACUCCGUAUGACGGAGAGGUAUCUCUGGGCCCACUCGGUAAUGCAUCAUCAUAAUGAGCUCAAUGUGACUAAGUAGUUAGUCACGGGAUCAUGCAUUAUGGAAUGAGUAAAGUGACUUGCCGGUAACGUGAUUGAACGAGGUAUUGGGAUACCGACGAUCGAAUCUCGGGCAAGUAACAUACCGAUUGACAAAGGGAAUUGUAUACGGGAUUGAUUGAAUCCCCGACAUCGUGGUUCAUCCGAUGAGAUCAUCGUGGAACAUGUGGGAGCCAACAUGGGUAUCCAGAUCCCGCUGUUGGUUAUUGGCCGGAGAGAUGUCUCGGUCAUGUCAGCAUGAUUCCCGAACCCGUAGGGUCUACACACUUAAGGUUCGAUGACGCUAGGGUUAUAGGGAAUAGAUGUACGUGGUUACCGAAUGUUGUUCGGAGUCCCGGAUGAGAUCCAGGACGUCACGAGGAGUUCCGAAUCGGUCCGGAGGUAAAUAUUUAUAUAUGGGAAGUCCCGUUUUGGACACCGGAAGUGUCUGGGCAUUAUCGGUAACGUACCGGGACCACCUGAAGGGUUCGGGGGUCCACCGGGAGGGGCCACCAACCCUGGAGGCCUGCGUGGGCCAAGUGUGGGAAGGGACCAGCCCCUAGGUGAGCUGGUGCGCCUCCCACAAGAGGCCCAAGGCGCAGGGAAGGGGGGAAGGGGGAAAACCCUAGGCUCAGAUGGGCCUAAGGCCCACCUAGGGUGCGCCCCCCCCCUCUCUCCCCCUCUGGCCGCUCCCCCAGAUGCAUCUAGGGCUGGCCGCCACCCCUAGGGGGGAACCCUAGAUGGGGGCGCAGCCCCUCCCCUUCCCCUAUAUAUAGUGGGGGUUUUGGGGCUGCCAUAGACACGAGUCUCCCUCUCUCUUGGCGCAGCCCUACCCCUCUCCUUCCUCGUCUCUCGCAGUGCUUGGCGAAGCCCUGCUGGAGUGCCAUGCUCCUCCACCACCACCACGCCGUCGUGCUGCUGCUGGACGGAGUCUUCCCCAACCUCUCCCUCUCCCUUGCUGGAUCAAGGCGCUGGAGACGUCACUGGGCUGCACGUGUGUUGAACACAGAGGCACCGUUGUUCGGUGCUUAGAUCGGAUUCGGCCGCGAUCUGAAUCGCUUCGUGUACGACUCCACCGACCGCGUUCUUGCAACGCUUCCACAUCGCGAUCUUCAAGGGUAUGAAGAUGCACUCCCCUCUCUCUCGUUGCUAGUUACUCCAUAGAUUGAUCUUGGUGAUGCGUAGAAAAUUUUGAAUUUCUGCUACGUUCCCCAACACAGCCCAGGACCACUAUGGAGACUGCAUACAUGGUUUGAUCUUUUUCAUUACCGACUUGUAGCGCAGCGGAAGUAGAGUCGAUGACGAACGGCGGUGCAGAUCCCCGCAGCUAGGAUUUACAACCUCCCAACCGCGAGGAUGUAUACCCUCAUCUUCCCUACGGACAGCCCUCCAGGAGGCGGUCAGACAGUCCCUCGGACGGUGUCGCGGACAGCCCUUCGGGAGGACCCUCAAAACUCGGACGGUCACUCGGAUAGCCCUUCGGGAGGAUACACAGAACUUGGACCGUCACUUGGACAGCCCUUCGGGGGGCACUCUCAAAAGAGCCCCUCGGGCAAAAGGAUCAAAACUACGACCUCUCUACGGGGUUGCACACAUACGGUGUCAUCUAUCCGGCAGGGCUUCGCCGGCCAGAACUAGUUCCCACCGGAACCCAGACAGCCUUUCGGCUCUACGAAACUAUUUCGCUGGGAAGGAGAGAGAAGCCAUAUCAUGCAUGGCACUUGUAUGUGAGAAGGGAUGAUGGUUUGGGCAGCCCCUCACCUCCUAUUUAUAGUAAAACCAAGGGUUAGUGUGCCUCCUCAAAUACCAAAAGUGCCCAUGCUUUAUGUCAUACAUAACGGCAAAAUGGGGAGGCAAGUGGAGCACCAAAUGGUGGAAGGAAGCCUCAUGGGGGCCCCCCAAUGGCACCAACGAAAUUGGCAGCCCUCUUGGGUGGCUCCACCACCUUCCUAUCCAUCCAUGUCAUCCCAAAAGAUCUUGGGACAAAGCCCAAAAUAAUGGCUUUCCAUAAAAUAUCCCAAAAAGCACUUUCACUAUUCACGACGACAUUUUUUGGCGUCCGUUCGAACUGAAAAUAUUCAUGUGGGCUUAGAACAUUUCCAGUACCCACCAUAAUGAUCUUCAACAGGUUCUGGAACAAUUCCAGUUUAGUGAUUUUCAUCUGUGAAAAGCAUCUGAACCGGUUCCGGCAGCUCCGAAACAUUUCCGGUUUUUAUUUCUGAAAAUUCCAUAAAGUUUCCAGAAUGAUUCUGGCACCCUCCAAGAAUUAUCAGGCAUGUGCCAAAACCAUUUUGACUUAAUGGCAUACCCCGAAACAACUUUUUCGGUUUCACCAGAACUCAUCCGGUGACCUCUGUUUUCAGAACUUUUCUGAUGUCUCCGAAAAACUUUUUCCGAAAACUUUCUCUCAGACUCCCUGUCUAGUAUUCAGCGGAUAGAUGACCCUUAAGCAUGUGACCCUAUAGGUUCGGUGAAGUAUAGACAUGACCCGGAACCCCUUCCGAUCAAUGAUCAACAUCGGAGCCGUGGACACCCAUAUUGACCCCUAUACCCACACGAAUGAAUAUUCGAGUGAACCUCCAGUUGAUGUGUGUUAUUCCUGUUGCUCCGCGAUAUGUUAUGAAUACCCGAGGUGAGACAUGUUGGCAUCCCUGUGGAUCAACUCCUUGUCCACUAUGCCAUUUACCUCGUUACCGAUAUUGUUCUCUUUUCUUGUUCCGUGUUCCGGCAUACCCGUGAUCAAAUCACCCUUUGUCUGGCCAGACGAUGAUGGAUAUCGUAACACCGAGAGGGCCCAGAGAUAUCUAUCCAUCGAUGGAGGAGCAAAUCCCAAUCUUGAGCUAUCAAGUUACUUAACAUACCUUUCCAUGAACCCGUAAGCCGCCGUAAUAGCCACCCAUUUACGGAUGACGUUUAACAAACCCCAAAGUUCAUGAAGCAAGCAUGAAGAAACUCGAUACUCUCAUGGUCUAAGGAAUUAUGCAAACAUAAACUUCCUGUGUUAUUAAGCAUUAACUUGUGACGAAUGUAUCUCAUAGCAUAACAUCAAUUCGGGUCGAUUCAACACAAAUGUUCUUCUAACAUUGUGCCCUCAAAGUUGCUGGCAUAGACAUGCCCAUGAUCAGGAAAACAGAACCAUCAUGCAACACUUGAGCUAGUCUUAGAGGCCAGACUAGGAAUACAUUUUAUCGUUUAUUAUUCCACACGUGCAUAUGAGUCUUCCUCCGAGCCUCGUUUUAUUUGCAGACUCGAGAACCAUAGCAGUUAUAGCAUGGAACAUAAACCUAAUUAUGAACAGGGAGAUAAUCAAUAACAUUUAUUAUUGCCUCUAGGGCAUAUCUCCUACAGACUCCCACUUGCACUAGAGUCAAUAUCUAGUCAAUGCUAAUGCACUACUAUCGGGGAUAUACCACGCGGUAUGACCCGGCCGGAAGUAAGACCCGGCCGGACUUGGCGGCUCACAGAGACCCGGCGAGUAUUUGGGGACUUACUGAUAACCCCAACGGCGGAUCAGGCGGACGACAAGGCCCAAGGCCCAGCAGGCUGGCUUAUACUCUGGUGGGCCGGCUUAAGGAGAAAGGGAUGACGAAUAUUUCCUUUACGAGGAAGCAAGACCCGGACUUGUAUUCAACUUGUAAGAAAAGAUAGACUAGUCCUAGUCCUACUAGGACUCCGCAUGUAACCCACCCCUCUAACUUAUAUAAGGAGGGGCAUGGCACCCCAAAGAGGGACAGGCAAUAAGAAACGAUCUCUAGGGCUAGACACAAAGAGCCGGCCAAGCUGGCGACUCUCUCAUGAUCAUAAUGAGACCUAACCACAAACAGCAUGUAGGGCUAUUACCGGAUGAUGUUUCCCGGGGCCCGAAGCUGUCUAAAUCCUUGUCUUGUGUUGCGUCUCUCGAUUCCGCUCAACCCCUCUCAAGCUACUACAAAGAUGCGUUGGCCUCACGACUAAGUCCUCACACUAGGACAUCUGCCGUGACAAUUCCACGACAGUUGGCGCCCACCGUGGGGCCAGCGCAUGGUGGAUUUGAGUUCUUGAAGGGCGGCUUCGAAGGGCUCAAGGGAUACGCUGUGGGCCGGAUGACCAAGAGUCAUCGCGGCAAGCUCUACAUUGACGAUGCGACCUGGGGCCCCGACGCCGGCUCAAUCGAGUACGGGUACCGGGUCCCCUUCGGCGGAAUCCAUGUCUUCAUUGGCAAAAUUGGUGAGCCGGGUCUUGAGCCGGAGCUCUGCACCGAUCUCAUCGAGACGGCUCAGCGUCCACGACCCGCCCGGGCUCUACCUGCCUUGAAGCACACUUUCGUGGGAUGUGUCCAUGGAGGACUCUCCAAAGGAUCUGGAUCUGGUGAUGAGACGGCCGCCAGCUCUGACGGCGAGUCGGCUACGGAUGAGUCAAACUCGUUAUAUCAACUCCAGGAUGGCAGGCUCGGGGGCUGUUCCGACAGCGACAGUAUUCCGGACCCUUUUGAGCCGCCAAGCCGGGUUGGAAUCUUUAUGGCCGGUGCACAGCCUGUUCAAAACCCUGCCGCCGGGUCAGGAAACCCGGUGCCCUCGCCGACUCAGGUGCUAAUGGAUCUCACGGACAAGAUGACGGCCCUGUUGACCGCUACGGUUGACCCGGUGGAUCAAGCUCAGCACGACGCGGAGGUGGCACAGUUGAAGUUAGAUCUAGUAAAAGCCAAGGAGGAUCUGGCGGCGGAAGGGAUUAGGAUGGCUGCGGAGAGGGCGGCUCUCGACGCCCAAACUCAGCUGAUUCAGGCACAAUCUUUCCGUCUCACGAUGGAUCAAAACGCGUCCCAUGAGGUCAUGAGAAGGAGCCACCACAAGACCCAAUCUCGACUCCCUCCGGUUUACGAUCCUCGAAACCUCUUCAACACGCCUGGUGCAGGGCCUAGUAACCCGCCAGAGAUCAUAACACCCGGGACUGGAACACCAAUUCAACCCCAAGUGAUGGGGCCUCCCCGGGUGAACCCUGCCCCACCUCAGUAUGUGCCAAUACCCCUGGGUCAUUAUGCCAACCCGUUGGAAAACAUGGUCGCCGCGGCGGCGCGGCUGGCGGCUCUCCCAAUUGACGGUGACUCUCCAACAGCGGUUGAAACCCGCCGGGUCAGAGAACUCCUUCAGACGGCUCUGGCGCAGCAAGAGGCGUAUUCUUACAGCCGGGACAGGAUUCAUUCAACCCCUCGUCCAGGCCGGAGUCCGAGUUAUAGCAGACACAUAGCCUCAGCGACCGGCUCAAGUAAUGUCCGACGCCAUAACUUGCCUCCUGGCCACGGCCCGGCUCAUAAUGGAGCUCUUCAUGCGGUAGACCAAGACCGAGCACGGCAAGAGGAGGAGCAGAUGCCUCAGUUGACGGCUUACCAACCACCCCCGGCUUACCCGACGGCUUCCGUCGACGUGGGUAUACCUGCGAGGACCGGAGGUGUCCCUUGUCUGGUUCCGGCUCUUCGCAGUGAACGCCUACCCAAGGACUUCAAAGGGCCUAGGAUGGUGCCUAACUACACAGCUGAUCUACAACCCGGAGCCUGGAUCGAGAGUUACGAGAUGGCCAUGGAGUUGCUGGAGGUUAGCGAAGCGGCGAUGGCCAAGUACUUCACCAUGAUGUUAGAUGGGACCGCCUGCACUUGGCUGAAAGGGCUGCCACCCAAUUCUAUCGGGUCUUGGGCUGAGCUGAAAGCCCGGUUCAUCCAAAACUUCAAGGAUACCUGUAGGCAGUCUAUGUCAAUUGUGGAUUUGACUAACUGUAAGCAGCAGGAGGGUGAGUCUACAACCCAUUGGGUUCGCCGGGUCAAAGAGAUAAUACAUUCAUCUGAUAAGAUGGACGCCGGCUCUGCAGUCUUAAUGUUGGAACAGAAUUGUCGUUUCUUGCCCCUGAAGAUGAAACUCGGGCGGCUCAAGCGUGAUUGCAAUGAUAUGGGUAUGCUGAUGGCGGCUCUCGUCAAGUAUGCCGACUCUGAUAGUACCAAGGACCCCGCGUCGGAUGAUGAAAGGACAGGGAAGGGAAAGAAGAACGGCAAUGGCAAGGGUCCUCAGCAUAACCCGGCAAACCAAGGAGGUGGCAAGCGUAAGGCCGACGGCAGCCUAGAGUUUGUGGCCAACGCCAGCUCACAGGGUAACAACCAGCGACGCAAGGGGAGACCACCUCCCCGAGCCGGCGGGUCAGGCCCGACGCUUGAGCAGUUGUUGAAUGAGCCUUGUCCAAGGCAUGGCUCUAGGGAGAAGCCAGCUACUCAUCUAUGGAAAGAUUGCGCAAUCAUGAAGGCCUUUAAGAAUUCCAAUGCCUUUAAUGGCAACAAUGGCUCGGGCGGCGGCUCGGGCGCUGGCGGUUUUCAUGGCCCGGGCGGCGGCUCACAUUCUAAUCCUCAGAACGGUCAAGGGGGCUUUAAUCAGCAGUCCGGCCAAGGUCAUCAACAGCAGCAGGGGGGUUACUAGACCAAUCCAAAGCAGCUCAACGGUGGGCAGUAUCAUGUGUUUACCACCAAUCUGUGUAAGCGAGAUCAGAAGCUUCAUAAGAGGGCUGUAAAUGCUGUUGAGCCGGCGGUUCCACGCUAUUUAAGAUGGUUUGAGCAGCCUAUUGUGUGGAGUAGGGAGGAUCACCCUCCCCGGGUUGAUAACCCGGGUCACCUGGCCUUGGUGGUGGCCCCUCAGGUGGGAGGAUAUAAAUUCACUAAGGUUCUCAUGGAUGGAGGCGCAUCAACAUCCUCUAUUAUGAGACUUUCCGCCGUAUGGGAUUGAUUGAUAAGAAUCUCAGCCAGUCCAAUACUGUUUUCCAUGGCGUGGUGCCUGGUAAGUCGGCGUAUCCAGUGGGCAAGAUUGAGCUGGAAGUGGCUUUUGGAGACGAGUACAACUACAGGGUAGAAAAAUUAACCUUUGAGGUGGUUAAGAUAAGAAGUCCGUAUCAUGCUAUAUUUGGGCGGCCGGCUUACGCUAAGUUCAUGGCGCGGCCGUGUUACGUGUAUUUGCAGCUCAAGAUGCCGGGUCACAAUGGGACCAUUAUGGUUCAUGGCAGCCGGAAGGUAGCCUUGGAGUGUGAGGAAGGCGAUGCGGCUUAUGCAGAAUCUGUUUGUGCAACAGAGGAGUUGAAGUUUUACAAGGAAUAUGUUGACCCAACAGAUAUGACAUCUCUGAAAAAGCCGACCACGGAGCAUGAGCCGACAAUCAAAUUUAAGUCGGCUGAUGAGACUAAACUUGUUGAUUUCGUUCUAGGUGAUUUAUCUCAGCAGUUUAGCAUCAGUGCCAAUCUGGAUCCAAAAUAGGAAAGCGCGCUCAUCGAGUUCAUCCGUGAGAAUAGGGACAUUUUUGCAUGGAAACCUUCGGACAUGCCAGGUGUACCUAGAGAACUCGCUGAGCACACUCUUAAUGUUGAUCCGAAAUUCAAGCCGGUCAGGCAAUUCCUUCGGCGGUUUAAUGAGGAGAGGCGGAAAGCCAUUGGAGAAGAGGUGGCCCAGCUCUUGGCGGCCGGGUUUAUUGUUGAAGUCUUUCACCCAGAGUGGUUAGCUAACCCGGUGCUCGUGCUCAAGAAGAAUGGCACCUGGCGGAUGUGUGUGGACUACACGGACUUAAACAAGGCAUGUCCAGCUGAUCCUUUUGCCCUCCCCCGUAUUGAUCAAAUCAUCGAUGCUACGGCGGGUUGUGAGCGCUUAAGUUUCCUGGAUGCUUAUUCUGGAUACCAUCAGAUUAAAAUGGCAGUUAAAGACCAGGAGAAAACGGCGUUCAUCACUCCCUUUGGAGCCUUCUGUUAUGUGUCUAUGCCUUUUGGACUCAAGAGUGCACAGGCGACUUAUCAGCGUUGCGUGCAGAACUGUCUUCAUAACCAGAUUGGGCGCAAUGUUCAUGCCUAUGUGGAUGAUAUUGUGGUUAAGUCCAGGGAGAAGGAAACCUUGAUAGAUGAUCUGAGAGAAACCUUUGAUAACCUCCGGGUCUACAAGAUGAUGCUUAACCCGGCCAAGUGUGUUUUUGGUGUUCCUGCAGGCAAGCUCUUGGGUUUUCUGGUUUCUCAUAGAGGCAUUGAAGCUAACCCGGAGAAGAUCAAGGCAAUCACCUCUCUGGCUAAGCCGGCGUGUAUAAAUGACGUCCAGCGCCUGGCGGGUCGUAUCGCUGCUUUAAGCCGGUUUAUAAGCCGUUUGGGUGAAAAGGCCAUGCCACUGUACCAGUCGAUGAAGAAAACUGAUGAUUUUAUCUGGAAUGAUGCUGCUAAUGCUGCUUUUGAGGAUUUGAAGAGACAGCUGGCUGAGCCCCCAGUCCUUGCUGCUCUGGUUGAUAAGGAGCCCUUAUUACUGUAUGUAGCUGCUAACACACGAGCCGUCAGUGUGGCUGUGGUGGUGGAGCGCAAGGAAGAGGGUAAGGAGUAUCCGGUUCAGCGGCCGGUUUACUACGUCAGCGAAGUACUCAUAGAGUCCAAACAGCGGUAUCCACAUUGGCAGAAGCUUGUUUAUGGGGUGUUCAUGGCAAGCCGGAAGCUUAAGCAUUAUUUUCAGGGUCACCCCAUGACUGUGGUUAGUUCUGCUCCCCUUGGAGAUAUCAUCCAAAGCAGAGAAGCUACAGGAAGAGUGGCUAAGUGGGCUAUAGAGCUUGGGCCUCAUGGUCUGAAAUACGUACCACGCACUGCCGUCAAAUCUCAAGCUUUGGUGGAUUUCAUCAACGAUUGGACAGAGCUACAGGUGCCUGAAGAAAAGCCAGAUAAUACAUAUUGGACUAUUCACUUCGAUGGGUCUAGGCAAUUGGAGGGCUCGGGGGCUGGAGUUGUAUUGGCUUCCCCUAAAGGUGACAAGUUUCAUUAUGUGCUACGGUUGAUGUUUCCUUGUACUAACAAUGCGGAUGAGUACGAGGCCUUGCUCCAUGGUCUUCGGAUGGCGAAGGAGAUGCGCCUGAGCCGGGUAAGGUGCUUCGACAAUUCCGAUUUAGUGGCUCAACAAGUAUCAGGCAAGUGGGAUUCCAAGGACCCUCUCAUGGCGGCUUAUCGCCGUGAAGUUGAUGCCAUUGCUGGGCACUUUCAGGGUUACCAAGUAGAGCACAUCGAUCGCAGGAAGAAUGAGGCGGCUGAUGCAUUAAGCCGGCUGGGCUCCCAGCGAAAGCCGGUGCCGCCUAAUACCUUCCUGGACAUCUUACAUAACCCUUCUGUCAAGUUGCCUACAGAAGAAGACUUGGCUGUUCCUGACCCGGAGGCACAAUUGGUGGCGGCUCUCCACAUCACCCCAAACUGGACAGUCACUACAGGAAUCAGCUAUUUUGCCGUCCGCCAUGGCGGACGGCAAAGGCAUGAACGGCGGACAGCAAAGGCCUUUGCCGUCAGCCGCGGACGGCAAAAGGCUCCGGCAAAGUAGGCUACGGUAAACAGCUACUUUGCCGUCUGCUUCCUGGCGGCUGACGGUAAAGGCCCUUUGCCGUCUGCCGCGGACGGCAAAGAGAGCAGACGGCAAUAAUUGUGCUCUCAGUCCGUUAAGUGGCUAACGGCAGGCCUUUGCCGUCCGCCGCGGACGGCAAACUUUCUAGUGCCUUUGCCGUCCGCUUCCGCCUCGCCCGCUUCCGCCUCGCCCGCCGCAUCGGCCGCCCCCGCUUCCGCCUCGGCCUGUGGCGCCACUUCCGCCUCGGCCGCCGCGUCGCGUCGCGUCGGCCGCCCCCGCUGAGGCGCUGNNNNNNNNNNNNNNNNNNNNNNNNNNNNNNNNNNNNNNNNNNNNNNNNNNNNNNNNNNNNNNNNNNNNNNNNNNNNNNNNNNNNNNNNNNNNNNNNNNNNNNNNNNNNNNNNNNNNNNNNNNNNNNNNNNNNNNNNNNNNNNNNNNNNNNNNNNNNNNNNNNNNNNNNNNNNNNNNNNNNNNNNNNNNNNNNNNNNNNNNNNNNNNNNNNNNNNNNNNNNNNNNNNNNNNNNNNNNNNNNNNNNNNNNNNNNNNNNNNNNNNNNNNNNNNNNNNNNNNNNNNNNNNNNNNNNNNNNNNNNNNNNNNNNNNNNNNNNNNNNNNNNNNNNNNNNNNNNNNNNNNNNNNNNNNNNNNNNNNNNNNNNNNNNNNNNNNNCGCCUGCCCCCCGCUGCCGCCUCGCCUGCCCCGCGUGCCCCGAUGCCUCGCGGUCAACGCUGCCAUCUCGUCUUCCGCGCGCCGCCAUCUCGUCUUCCGCACGCCGCCAUCUCAUCUUCCGCGGCCCGGCGCCUCCCUGCCGCAGUUUAAUGCCCCGCCCCGCCCCGCCACGGCGCCUCAUCUCCCUGGCGCUAUAAAACCCGCCCUGCGCGGCGAGUUUGGUCACACCGCCCAUCCAUCCCUCCUCUCCCUCUUCACACGCGCGUUCUCUUCGUGGGAUGGCGUCCAGCGACUCGGACUCCGACGGCGCGGCACCGGGCGGCCACUGGCCGUCGAGCCUCACGUUGGGGCAGACGGAGGACCUCGCUCGGUUCUGCCUCUACGUGCCACCGGCGGCGAAGGUGCCGCGGCCGUGGAGGAUCUCCGCGGACGGAUUCCCCACGCAGGGCGUACCGGCGACCAAGGCAGAGCUUCGCGCGCACCCCGGGGGACGCUACAACCGAAAGGGCCGCCGCCAUUUUUGGAAGGGCAAGCGGUUCGACAACGUCAUCGGCGCCUUCAAGCGCGCCGCCCGAGGGCUCCCUGUCGGUGAUCUCUCUGGUGGAGCCGGGCCCUCCCAGCCGCGCGGGCGCCCCCCUCCUCCCACCCCCGCCCCAGCAGCCCCGGCCGACGUUGUGAUCCCGUCGGAGUAGGCGGCGCUCCAGCAGGACGGCGACCCGGAGGACACGCCCGGGCUCCUCGCGAUCCUGGCGCAGUCUGCGGAGGAGGCUGCCGCGGCCGCGGCGCUGGAGGCCCAGGAGGAGGCGGCGCAGCAGGCGGCGAUGGCGGCGCAGCAGGCGGCGAUGGCGCCGCCAGAGUGGCAGCAGGUGCCGCCGGAGUGGCAGCAGGAGUGGCAGCAGGCGCCGGCGGCGGAGGAGGAAGAGGAUUCGGACGACGUCCCGGUGGACUGGGACGACGUCGCGAACCGGUCCAGCAGCGACGACGGCGGCAACGGCCCGACCGUGAUUGACCUCGAUAGCGAUGCCGAGUAGUUUUUUUAGUAUUUAUGUACGAACUAGACUUUAUGUACGAACUUUUUUUAGUGUGUUGUUUGCGGACCUAAAACAAAACUAAAACUAAACCUAAAACUAAAAAAACAGAAGAAAAAAAAAGGAAAAUAGGGGGUAGAGCUCACCUGGGGCAGAGCCNNNNNNNNNNNNNNNNNNNNNNNNNNNNNNNNNNNNNNNNNNNNNNNNNNNNNNNNNNNNNNNNNNNNNNNNNNNNNNNNNNNNNNNNNNNNNNNNNNNNNNNNNNNNNNNNNNNNNNNNNNNNNNNNNNNNNNNNNNNNNNNNNNNNNNNNNNNNNNNNNNNNNNNNNNNNNNNNNNNNNNNNNNNNNNNNNNNNNNNNNNNNNNNNNNNNNNNNNNNNNNNNNNNNNNNNNNNNNNNNNNNNNNNNNNNNNNNNNNNNNNNNNNNNNNNNNNNNNNNNNNNNNNNNNNNNNNNNNNNNNNNNNNNNNNNNNNNNNNNNNNNNNNNNNNNNNNNNNNNNNNNNNNNNNNNNNNNNNNNNNNNNNNNNNNNNNNNNNNNNNNNNNNNNNNNNNNNNNNNNNNNNNNNNNNNNNNNNNNNNNNNNNNNNNNNNNNNNNNNNNNNNNNNNNNNNNNNNNNNNNNNNNNNNNNNNNNNNNNNNNNNNNNNNNNNNNNNNNNNNNNNNNNNNNNNNNNNNNNNNNNNNNNNNNNNNNNNNNNNNNNNNNNNNNNNNNNNNNNNNNNNNNNNNNNNNNNNNNNNNNNNNNNNNNNNNNNNNNNNNNNNNNNNNNNNNNNNNNNNNNNNNNNNNNNNNNNNNNNNNNNNNNNNNNNNNNNNNNNNNNNNNNNNNNNNNNNNNNNNNNNNNNNNNNNNNNNNNNNNNNNNNNNNNNNNNNNNNNNNNNNNNNNNNNNNNNNNNNNNNNNNNNNNNNNNNNNNNNNNNNNNNNNNNNNNNNNNNNNNNNNNNNNNNNNNNNNNNNNNNNNNNNNNNNNNNNNNNNNNNNNNNNNCGUCGGCGAGGAGAGAGAGGGAGAGAACAGAGAGUAACGGGCGGGGGGGUACGGGCCGUUAGGUAGUCUCCUCUUUGCCUGUUUGCCGUCUGCUGGCAGACGGCAAAGAGGUGGGGCGUUAAGUUUUUUCCAAACGAGCGGGGGGUGGGGGCCACCUCUCUCUUUGCCGUCUGCCAGCGGACGGCAAAGAAUCUUUGCCGUCCGCUGGCGGACGGCAAAGAGCCCGCAGAUGGCAAAGAGCUUCUUUGCCGUCUGCCAUUUCUUUGCCGUCAGCUUCUGGGUAGCUGAUGGCAAAGAGAUUCUUUGCCGUCAGCUAGCAGACGGCAAAGAGCUGGCAGAUGGCAAAUUAGCUGAUUCCAGUAGUGAGUACCAUAUUUGGCUUACAUGACCCGGGGAGAUUUGCCUGAGGAUGAAACUUUGGCCAGACAAAUAACCCGGCGGUCUAAGUCAAUGGUCAUUAAGAGCUGGCAGAUGGCAAAUUAGCUGAUUCCAGUAGUGAGUACCAUAUUUGGCUUACAUGACCCGGGGAGAUUUGCCUGAGGAUGAAACUUUGGCCAGACAAAUAACCCGGCGGUCUAAGUCAAUGGUCAUUAUCAAUGGUGAGCUGCAUCGCCGUAGUGUUACUGGAACGUUCCAGCGUUGUGUUUCCCCUGAGGAGGGUCAAGAAAUCUUACGUGAGAUUCACGAAGGGGAUUGUGGCCAUCAUGCCGGCUCAAAAUCUCUUGUGGCCAAGGCUUUUCGUCAUGGUUUUUACUGGUUGACGGCUCAUGCUGAUGCGGAGGACUUGGUCAGUAAAUGUGAUGGUUGUCAGAGGUUCUCACGACGGGCUCACGUGCCGGCUCAGGAGCUGAGGAUGAUUCCAAUUACCUGGCCGUUCGCGGUCUGGGGGUUUGAUAUGGUUUGGCCUUUUAAAAGGUCUAAAGAUAAGAAGACGCACCUCUUGGUGGCGGUUGACAAGUUCACAAAGUGGGUUGAGGCAGAGCCAGUUAGCAAGUGUGAUGCAGCCACUGCGGUUCAGUUCAUGAAAAGGGUGAUAUUUCGCUUUGGUUUUCCACACAGCAUCAUAACUGACAACGGUACCAAUCUGUCUAAAGGCGCCAUGGAGGAGUUUUGUCAACGAGAGCAUAUUCGACUUGAUGUUUCAUCAGUGGCUCACCCUCAAUCCAAUGGUCAAGCCGAGAGAGCCAAUCAGGAGAUUCUGAAAGGCAUCAAGCCCCGGCUUUUGGUCCCUUUCAACAGACGCCGGGUUGUUGGGUAGAGGAGCUACCCUCCGUGUUAUGGAGCAUCAAUACUACUCCUAACAGAUCUACGGGUUACACGCCUUUCUUCAUGGUUUAUGGAGCGGAAGCAGUCCUCCCUAGCGACAUUCGUCAUGACUCACCUCGAGUGGCGGUUUAUGUUGAGGUGGAUAAUGAGCAGGCACGCCAAGAUGCUCUUGACUUGUUGGACGAACGGCGUGAUGUGGCAGCAGCUCGCUCAGCGAUUUACCAACAAGACCUGCGCCGUUAUCACAGCCGCCGGGUUAAGUCCCGGGUCUUCCAGGAAGGUGAUCUGGUGCUCCGACUCAUCCAAGAUCAAACAGAUGCGCACAAGUUAUCCCCGCCUUGGGAAGGGCCCUUUGUGGUCAGCAAGAACUUGCACAACGGGUCAUACUACCUCAUCGAUGUUCGGGAGCACAAAGAUUCGCGCAAGUCGGAGGAAGAGACCCGUCGGCCGUGGAACAUAGCUCAGCUUCGGCCUUAUUACACUUGAGCCACCGGCUCUCAUAAUGUACAUAUUUCUAUAGCCAUGUAUAUAUUAUGAUAAAUAAUAAAGCAGGACCUCUGUCCUUUUCUCCUCCAAAGGUAAAAGUGUUAUUUCCAUUACAAGAUCACAUGGUCACUUGGAGGUGGAUCCGGCUUAUGAUCGUAUUCGAAUCUAGCCGUUAACAAUAUAAUCACCUGGGGGCUUCCUGUUCAAACGUAGGUCGUAUUCGAACCAAAGAGAACAUAGCUGUCGAUACCCACUUGAUUGGCACACUGCCGAGCUCAUCAGGGAGUUUCCUUGAUCAUAUUUGAAUCAUAGCUUAACCCCCUUUGGGAACCGACGUGGAUCGUAUUCGAAUCAGUGUCGUUAAACAACUCUCAAGGUCAUUUGGGGGCUUCCUGUUCAAACAUGGGUCGUAUUCGAACCAAAGAGAACAUAGCUGUCGGUACCCUCUUGAUCGGCAUCGCCAAACCCACUGGGGGCUAUAUGAUCGCAUUCGAAUCUUAGCUUAACCCCUUUGGGACGGGUCUCAGGUCGUAUUCGAACCGGAAGCCCCUAAGUUUUGAUUUUCUGAUUUGCAACAAGUUCUUCUGGUUGUAUCAACAGUGUGCACGGUGGUUCUUACUCCGCCGACUUAACUUUGAUUCACAGUGUUAGUCACACACAAUAAGCAUUAUCAAAACUGGUAAACCGGAGUUGAGGUACCAACCUUAUUAACCCGGAAGUAUACUUGAAGGCCUGUAAGUAUGCUAUUAUGGUUACAUCAAGGAUAUAAUUGAGGACCAGUCUUUGGUGACUUGGAUUCAUAUUCCGGGUUAUAUGUAUAAGAUCUAUGAUUCUCAGUGCGGUAAGCCGCCUAGAGACUUGUGAUUUGUUUUCUUUGCAGGAUGGUUCAAAACAGCUAUUCGAGCUUAAGGAAAAUAAAUGAUCAAUUAUGACCCGGAGGAAUAUAAGGAAGCAACUUCAAUGGAGUUAAGCAUUCAACAUGUGCACGAUGGCACGACAAAGUAAAAAUGUUUGUCCUACUCUCUUACAAGACUCCCAAGUCCAAAAGGUGAGGCAUUGUUUAAACAAGCAUAACUAUGGGCCGCCUAAAGAGUCAAGAUGCUUGCUGGGUCGAAGCUUCCGGCUCAUCCCUCUCCGCUCCUCCGGCUGUUCCUAUGACCUGGAAGGUUGACGAUUUCCAGUCAAUGCCGCUCAAAGCUUCAAACUGAGCCUCCUCGUCAAUUAACCCGGCCGGGUCAACUUUUGGGGCGAAGGUAUGCUUACGAGUCAGAGGGAUCAAGCUGAUUGCUUCGUAGCGUGGAGUGGGGAUCCUCUGAUUCUCCGAGUCAUAGCCCGGCUGAUACUUGGUGAGGUCGGUGUCGUUCCCAAUUAAGGUAGCCACCGGGCGCACACUCUUCACACAAUCAGCAAAAUCUUUUUGGUCAAAGGGAGUACCGUCUUCCUUCAGACUGGGGUAUCCAAGCGCGAUCUCCGCCGGGUCUAGCUCCGGGAGGAAAGCCUUGGCCCGGCUCAGAGCAGCUAUGGCUCCGGCUCUUGCAGAGGCCCGUCACAGCUCUUGGAAGCGCUAAGGAAGAACAGCAAGCCGCCAAAGCACGUCCGCCAGGUGAGUCGGAACCUCAUUGGACAGGGCCACAACGGCUAAAGCACGCUGUGACCCGGUGUAGAGUUGCUCCACCAGGGUGUACACGGCCUUCAGCUUGGUCAGCACAUUUUGAUUGAGGUUGGCGCUUCUAGGACCUGUUUAACAACGUCAGGUAAGCCGCUAGCAAUGAUGGGGCUUAGGAGGCAUAAAGAAGGUAAACUUGUUGAAAGUCCGCAGAAUGACUUACCGAAGAUUGCGGCGACCAUCUGUGACACGUGGCGUUUUAAGCCGGAGAGUUCGGCGGUUCUCUCUGUCAAAGCAGCCUCCGCCUGUUCGGCCCGGCUGACCAAAGCAGUUUUUUCCUCGGCCCAAGUCUUCCUUUCGGUUUCAAACUUCUUCUUCAGCUUCUCUUGUGCAGAAACACUGAACUCGAAUUUGGCGUUGGCUUUCCGGGUCUCAGUCUCCUGAGUCUUCAGGCGGGUCUUCAGAUCAGAAAUUUCAGCUUCAAUUUUUUUGCAGACAGCCUGUACAAAAUCCGGGUUACAGUGAGCAUAAUUAUCGUGCAACAUUAAAGUCCCAAGCACUUUGCAAAGCAAAGACACUUGGCACUUGGGGGCUAAUGCAUAUUGAAAGAUCUGACGACACUAUGGCAUACUGGUGUAGAAAAUGCUUCGCUUGUGGUAUAGCCUGAUGUCCAACGGAUCUGACGACUUCAGCUCCUUGUGUAUCUUUGCAUAUCCUCACGUUUUCACGCUUUCACAAAAUUCAUAUUUUGUGUGGACUUGGCUUUUAUGUAUGUGAAUCACAGGUCGAACUGGAUUCCUCAGACUGAGGUAUGGAGAAACUACCUGCAGUAGUGUCCCAUUGACAAAAGCCAUCUUGGAACCAUACUAAGUUCAUGAAUGAACUAUAUGAUUCAACAUCUUGUUUGUCGCUUCUAAAGCGUCAACAUACUUAGUCAUUUGUUAUAGAAUUCGCCACAGUAUCCUGUUGGGAACAAUUUCCAACUACCGUGUCACCAUAUUGUGUAUUACACAAAACCCUUAACUUAAAUCGAAAAUCGCAUGGAUAAAAGAUGAAGACUGUAUCGAUGUAACAUUUUACAACGAACUCUUCAUGAUCUCCGCUUGCGAGAAAACAUAUCAUCAGUACUUACUCUAGUACUCAAUGACAUCUUUCACUGUUGUCCCACGAUCAGUACUUUGAUCACUUUAGUAUCCAUACUCGCAACACCAUGUAGUUAGUUCAUCAUUUUUAUGUGUUUGCUCUUUUCUUGCUUUUGUCUCGUGCCAGUGCAACAAGAUCGAUCGGAAGCUGAGUUGCAUGAGCCAGGGGAGAAGAUUGUUGAGGCUAACAGUGGGAGCAGUGCUCAUGUGAAGAAGGCAGUUAAGAAAAGAACGGCCCAGCCUCCUGAUGGUGUUCCAAAGAUGAAGAGGAUCAAGAUCGGCCGAAAAGAUGAUGCUCUGUACCAGCAGUAUGUGAUGAGUAGGUACAAAAUACCAAGAGCAAAGAAAGAUCAAGUAAUGUGAGUCCUUUUUCUGUUUGUUCCCCUUACCAAAUAUAUGGCGGGUCAGUGGCUUUUUAUAGUACUAAUCUCCUAUUCCUUUUUCUUUUCUGUCAACAUGUGUCCCUUUGUCCCAUGUUGAAAUGUUUUGCAUCCCUGAUUUCAUUGAAAUAGAGGGUUUCCACACAUCACUUCAGAACUUCCAUGCUUCAUUAAAGCCAUGAGCUGAUCUUGGCAGCGAGGUAAUGACACUGUAUCUGAAAACUUUCAACUUGGAGCAGUUGUACAACAAGAAGCCGAAGAAGUUUGCAUUCUCAGUGUUUAUGGGGGUUAGUCUUUCCUCCAUCUAGUGGUUCUUUUUUGUCACUUUCUUGCAACAUACAUAAACUCAUCUGGCUGUGCUAUCUUGUUGGAUUUUUACCCUUUUUUUCAAAGUCAAUUGGCUAUGGAUCCUGACUUGUUUGAUCACAAGAAUUGCGAAAGAGAGUUCAGAAGGGCAUGUGAAAAUAACCAUAUUUCAAAAAGCGAUCUAGUAAGUUUUUCCUCUUGGCUUCUAUGACAUUUUUUCACCUUAUUUUUCUGAAGCAUGUUAUGUAAUAUCUAGUUUCUUUAUGUUGCAUCCAGCUCCUCAUUAGUGUCGUCCAGAAUAAGCAUUGGGCGAUGGUUGUUGUGAACUUGUUGCACAAGCAAUUCAAUGUUUUCGACUCGGUCAAGAACGCCACGGAUGUUAAUUUGCUCCAUAAGGCAACCGACACUGUGGUAAUGAUAUUUGCUUGCUUUAUCAUUUUGUUUCUUUCAUCCUUUUUCAAACCUGUAUGAUUCAAAGAAAACAACCCCUCUUUUUCCAGUAUUUGAAUCUGUUUUUAUUAUGUUGCAUCCAAUCAGAUUGCCAACAUAAAGAAAGUUGCAAGCAAAGAAUCUUCAUUUCAUUUUGAUCUUGAUUGCUUUGAGAAGGUCACCCCAGAUCACCCGAAGCAAUUAACGCGGUAAGCCUUUUAUUUGUAGUAAUUUUUGUGCAAAUUACAGAGAUUUGAAUUUGUGGGUGGUUAGUGUUUAUUGAUUUUGUUGUAUCUUUCUAUGUAUUUUUUUAGUUAUAAUUGUGGCUUCUAUGCAAUUAUUUUCUUGGGAAACUUCGAUGGUGUUGUCAUGAAGCAUUUCGAUGAGGUGCCAAUUUUUAUCCCUUUCUACAAAUUGGAGCAUACUGUUGUUCUACUUAGGAGCUUACCAUUUUCUUUCUAUCCAUUCUUAAUUCCCUUUUUUCAUUUCCAUUGUCACAGAGUUGCAUCCCAAACCUCCGGAAACGUAUUGCAGCAGAUCUUAUCAAGCAUCCCAGCAAUACGUUGGACCCUGCAGACCAGUUGAAGAAGUUGCUGGAACUUUGAUUGAACAUCGAAGACCAUUUUUCAUCAUCAACAUCAAGGGGGUGGAUGGAGUUCGUUCGUUCUUCCAGGGAGCUUUUGUGUCUGUCCUCAACUAUCUUGUGGGUUGUAGUUCACAACUUUUGUUGUAAACAAGAAUGUAGACUCAGUGUAAUGGAUGCAAAACCUCUUGUUGGAUUGGUACUUCUGUUUAGACACGCCCAUUGGCAUGGGUUUGACGUGUUUUCAUGUCUUGUAUGGAUGUUGAUAUAGCACAUUUUAAUGAAAAUUUUCUUCUGUACCCUCACUUGCUUCUUUUAGUAUACCUUUUUUCUUUUUUUGUCGAAGACGAAUGCAACAUGUGCUCAUGUGAUGAAUAUACGAUCACUUUUUGGUAUUAUUUUUAUAUAGUUUUGAGUUUAUUGAAAACCAAUGUCAUAGGUUCUAAUUUCUAACUAGGUUUUAUAUACAUGUUCACAUUUUUUUCCUUUUUAUUCUUUUUGAAAUGCUUCUAGGAAGCAGUCGAACCCCUAUAGCGAAUAUUUUUAGUUUCCAACUCGUCGCUUCUUUACGCAAGGAGCAUUUUUUCUACUCAAGAAGUGCAAGUUUUGUUGCAUAAAUAUGUUCACUCAGUAACUCUGUUCUCCCAUUGAAGCAUCAGGAUAGCUUUCCAACCAUGACUCUGCUCUUAUUUUCAGUUUGUCUCAGUGGACCAUCAGUAUAAGCAAGCACAAAUAUAUAGACAAAUUUAAUAAUACCUCAUUAUUUUUGUCCAACACCGUUAUGUAGACAGAAACAAAACAAAAUUCUGUGAAAUUAAACGCAUUAUAAGCACUGUAAAUAUAGGUAUCCUCGGUUGCCCAGCACACAAUUUAAGCACAAAUGUUGUUCAAAUAAGAGACUUCUUUUUACACGUUUGAAGCAGGCUUUUUCUCAUGUGGACAAAAACUACCAUGAAAAGACAGUUCAUUUGAGAUUGUAUACAUUAUGGAGGGACACCAAACACUCUAGGAAAGCAUUUUCAGUCAUUUUUCUUCUCUUAAUUUGUUCUUCAGAGCCUAAGCUCUAUUGCUCUACUGACACCAGCCUCCAUAGACAUCGCAGCCCUUAGGUAGGGACAAUGCUUCACUGCAUGAUCAGGCUCGUUACAGUAGUUGCAUUUCUAGACAGCCAUCGCAGCCUUCAACAACUCACAUGUUACAACACUGUGAUCAUCUUCUUUGCAAUACGAGCAGAUAUCUGUUUUCUUCUUUGGUCUAGGUUUCCUUUUGGGCUUGGUUUCUUUCUUCUUCUCAUCUGUUUUUGCCUUCUUCUUUUGAGCAUCUUCUCAUUGCUCAAGUAAAGUCUUUCUUCUCUUAGACUUCUCCGUCGGUCGCCCUUUCUUCGGCACACGUGCUGGGUUUUGAAGCAUGGGUACCUCCCCGAUAUCGUGUGCUAUACAUGUGUGGUAGCCGCUUAUUGCUACUGCGUGGGGCAAUCUGGUUGCUUCUUUCUUGGAUGUUUUGGCUGUUGUUGCUUUGGUUCAAGUGGUGUUUGUAGCUGCUGCAUUUGGGGAUGUUUUUGCUGAUGAGUUGGCCCCCUUUGAUGCAUUGUUGUUUGCUGCCUUCCCCCUGUGUUGUGCUCUGAUGUUGAUCUGGUUGCUGCUAUUGCGCUUCCUGCUGCUCUGGUAGUUCCCCUCUCCUUGCUGCAAGUAUAAUGGGCUCAAGCGCAUGAGCUGCAUCAUUUAGUAUUUUGUAGGCAACAUCAUUGCUACAAGCUUGGGAGGCCAACCAUGUGAAUUUUCUGCACAACGAGUUGUACUUGAGUGUAUUGUUUGAAGGGAGCGCGAAAUCGAGAAGAUGGCCGCUACCACCUGUUGGUGUUGUUGCUCGUUCUGACCACCUUUCUAGCAAGUAGUGCUGCGGUAUAGCUUGGACAUUGAGGUGGACCAUUACUCUAACGAUGUGUGCACAUAUGAUUCCAUUCAUCUCAAAACAAUUGCAGCUGCACUCAAAUGUCUCUUCUGCCAGCACAACAUUCACUGUAAAUAUCUUGGGGUCUUCAUAGUAAUUUGAAAAGAGCACAAAUCUCAUGCUUCCAAUGUCAGGAGAAGGAACUUGGUUCAUCACAAACCCUGUGGAGGCAGUCACUUCUGCUUGAAACUUGCCAAACACGUUGCGGGUGUAGAAACCAACUGCCUGACGCUCAAUUCUGUACCGUGAGUAAAGCGGGGUUGUGGUUGCUGCGCCAAUGAAAGCUUGGUUGUCCUCACGGUCUAGCAUAGUCUCUUGCAGCACCUCAUACUGCUGCACAAACCUCCACACCGAGUCAUGAGGAUUAAAAAUGUCUUGAAGUAGGAGAUUCACUACAGGAAUUAGCUACUUUGCCGUCCGCCAAGGCAGACGGCAAAGGCAUGGAUGGCGGACGGCAAAGGCCUUUGCCGUCUGCCGCGGACGGCAAAAGGCGCCGGCAGAGAUAGCAUCGGUAAAGACCUUCGUUGCCGUCUGCUUUCUGAAGCGGACGGCAAAGGGGCCUUUGCCAUCAGCGGCUGACGGCAAAGAAAGCCGACGGCAAUAAAUUCGUUGUUAGUCCGUUAGGUGGCUAACGGCAGUCUUUGCCGUCCGUGGCUGACGGCAAAGAGUAGGCGGCCUUUGCCGUCGGCCAAAUGACGUCAGUUGAACAUCACUGCCCACCAAGGCUUUGCCGUCCGUCACUGUAGGCAAACUGACCAAAUGGGUCAGCUUCCAGGAAACACAGGUGGCUGCCACGUGGCUUCUUUGCCGUCCGCGGCGGACGGCACAGAGCCCGUUGCUGUCGGUGGCAGACGGCAAAGAGCCUGCAUUGCCUCUUUUUCUGUUUUUUUAAAUCCAACAAUUUUCACAGCAAAUAUAUAUGACAUAUAUAUAUAUAUAUUUCACAGGGCUAUUUCACAGCAAACAUAUGACAUAUCCAGCACAUAAGUUUCAUCGUACAUACAUAUAUAGUUCUAUCCAUUCAUACAUAGCAAGUUGCACAUACACAUUGUUCCAUCCAUACAUAUUACAAUGCAAAGUUUCAUCAAGAUAGCAAGUUCCAUCAUAGCAAGCUAGAAGAAUACUAGAAGAGAAUGAAGGAAAAAACAAGCACUCCAUCAUACCAAGCUAGCUUCCAUGAAGUGAAUGAAAUCUGCAAAAUGGCAAAUAAGAAAGUUAGAAAAAGGUGACUAGAAGAAGAAGACUAGAAGAAGAAGUAUAUGUCAUUUAUGAGCUAACUUAGGUGAAAUGGAUAACUUAGGUGAAAUGGAUCAUUUAUGAGCUAACUUAGUUGAAAUAGAUUGUUUAUGAGCUAACUAAGGUGAAAUGGAUCAUUUAUGAGCUAACUUAGUUGAAAUGGAUCGUUUAUGAGCUAACUAAGGUGAAAUGGAUCAUUUAUGAGCUAACUUAGGUGAAAUGGAUCGUUUAUGGGCUAACUUAGGUGAAAUGGAUCGUUUAUGAGCUAAUUUAGGUGAAAUGGAUCGUUUGUGAGCUAACUUAGGUGAAAUGGAUCGUUUAUGAGCUAACCUAGGUGAAAUGGAUCGUUUAUGAGCUAACUUAGGUAAAAUGCAUCAUUUUAGAGCUAACCUAGGUAAGAUGGGUCAUUUUGGAGCUAACCUAGGUAUAUAAAAUGGGUCAUUUUAGAGUUAACCUCAGUAAAAUGGAUCAUUUUGGAGCUAACCUAGGUAAAAUGGGUCAUUUUAGAGCUAACUUGGGUAAAAAUGGAUCAUUUAUGAGCUAACUAAGGUAAAAUGGGUCAUUUUAGAGCUAACUUAGGUAAAAUGGAUCGUUUAUGAGCUAACUAAGGUAAAAUGGAUCAUUUUAGAGCUAACUUAGGUAAAAUGGAUCGUUUAUGAGCUAAGUAAGCUAAUUAUGCCAUUUUUGACAUAAGUAAGCUAAGUACAUGUCAUUAUUGAGCAAACCUAGUUAACUAAGCAUAUUAGAGCUAACUUAGGUCAUUUUGGAGGAAACAAAGCUAAGUAUAGAUCGUUUUAGAGCUAACUUAGGUAAAAUGGAUGGUUUUGGAGGUCAGUAAGCUUAUUAAGUCAUUUUGGAGGAAAUAAAGCUAAGUCUAGGUCUUUAUGCAUUUGUUAAGCAAAACACUAGAGAAACUUACCGUGAUCAUGGAGGUGUAGGAGCGGGCUGGCUCGUGCCGGUAGCUGGAGAAGGAUCGUGCGAUGCUUGUCUGGAGUUACGCUGCACCAAAGAUCAUUUCCAAUGUCUCGUUAGCAUGAUGACACUCAAAUGUUAAGACUAGCAAGUAAUGUCCAUUCAAAUUAAACUCGCCAUGGUCCCAGUAGCAAUCUUUGGCAUCGGCAGAGCGGUCUGACCGGACUUCUCGCACACAGACUGCACAUUUGGUUUUGACGACUCAGUCAUACUAGUUAGUAAUGAGACAAACACUACAUGAAUGUUUUGGCUAAUCUGCAGAAGAAACUUACCACAAGGAGCUCGUACAUGGCCCUUGCCUGCAUGUCAUUCUGUGCCCUCUCCUCCUCCAACAUCUUUGUCGUCCUCUCCUCCAACUCCCGCUGCCGCCUCCGCCAGAAGUUUCUCCGUUCUAUCUCUCUCACUCUGUAUAGCAGCCUGCAACACCACUCCUCAUUAGCAUUUGUAAUCAUUGAUGGAAGCGCACACAAUGUACUGGAGAAAGAUAGCUGAGUACGUAUAACUAACCUUAAAGGCGAGUUGGACUGGCCGUUCACGAGGCCUUACCUCAGGAGCGGAGCUCGACUGGCGUGCCUUGAUCUCCGGGAGAGUGCUAGGACAACGGAUAAGUCCAUCUCCAAUGGCUAUCGAGCCAUGGGACCUCCCGCCACCAGCUAUCAUCACCAGCUCUGGAUCAAUGGGACCCUGGCUCGGGUUAAAGUCCUCCCCUUUCCUCGCCUUCCCCUGAUCUCUAUAUUUCACGAGCUUGUCGUGGGAGGAGAUGUUGGUGAAGUUGUUUGGAUCAUCGAGGUCAGACGGAGAGAAUGCCUUGACUUUCUUGUAAGAGGCAGUAUGGUCCAUGGCAUAGAGGUCGUACACCUCUGGCACCUUAUCCGCCUUAUUGUAGCGUGCCUGAAAGAGAGAAACAAAGUAAAUUAGUAAUUAAAGGGCUCAAGCUAGCAUGAUGAAUGAAUUGCAUGAAUCAUGAAGCAAACCACAUACCCAGUUCUGCCCGAACUGAUAUAAGUUGGAGCUGCCUUGAUGGUGUGGCACACCUUCCAUUUGGGCACGUUUGUCCUUGGCCUUGUUGUGGACGGCUAGCCAUUCUUUUGAGCACCACUCAUUGACCAACACCUCCCAACAAUCCAUCCGAUCCGCACACCAUCUCGGAGGCGCCUAAGUUAGCAAAUAGAAACUUGAUCGCUACGGCUAUGAAUUACUAAAUGAAGUAAGUAAGUGCAAGGCCUUAAGAAUUACCUUCAUGUACUGCUCCUUACUCAGGAACUUCUCGCGGCACGCCGGCUUGGGCUUCUUGAUACCACGCAAGGCGUAGUAGUCUCGAACAGCCUGCACCCGAGCCUCGUGCCGUAAGUUCUGUAGUAGGCGCUUGCAGACGUUAUCGAUAACAUUUGCCACUUCCUCCUCGUAUCCCUCCUCGCACCUGUAGAAUGUCUGCAAUCAAAUGAGACAAUAUUGAUUAGUAAAAUUAAUAACUAGCUAGUUGAACAUUUUUAAUUGUGUAAAGGAGAAAUUACCUAGAACUUUCUGAUCACCACGUCUGCCCUCGUGUCGCACAAGACACCGUCGAUAAUCUCACCCGGCGGGGCCGGGGCAGCCAAGUAGUGCUCCCAGCUCAAUCCAAGCUCUGGAAGCCGACCCUCACCAGGCAACGUGACAAACCCCGGGAAGUUUUGCCGGCAAAGCACUCCAAGGACGGAGUUGGGCCGGCGGACUUUCUCAUGGUGGUCCCAACCCCUGCAGCAUGACAAGGCCAACGCAUUAGAUAUUUGAAGAAACAUGAAUGCAGAAGGUACAAAAAGAUUAAAUGCACUUACCUCUCCCCAUCAGGGAAAAUCAACCACCUCUGCUCGCGGGUCGCCGGCACGGACGGGAGCCGUGUACAACCACGCUGGUAGACGGUGCCCCCCUCCUCCUCAAUAUCAGUCGUCUCCCCGCCAUCAUCAGCAUGGCCACUUGGCCCCUCAGGCUAAUCCGGCCAGGUACCCCAUCCAGACGUGUGCUCGUCCGGGGUCUCGUGGGCUGAAGGCCCGUCGACCCGAGGCUCGUGGGCCGAAGGUCCGUGGACCGGAGUCCGUGUAGCCUCCUCCUCGGACGAGUCCACCCUAGCAGUCACGUGCUCGGGUGAAACAGCCGGGGGUGGCGGCGAGGAAGGCACCCUAGCAGUCACCCUACCUCCUCUCCCGCGACCACGUGCUCCAACUCCUCUCUUCUUCCCUCCCUUACCUCGUCCCCUGCUGGGCACCGCGGUCGACGAAGAAGGGCCCGGCGGUGUCGCCAUACUGUCCAGCAACGCUCGACGGAGAGGUGCGUGUGGAAUGGAAGACCUCCCACCAUGCGCCGACGAAGAAGGGGCCUCGGAACGCUCCGGACCAGCGCCCACCAUCUUUCAACACCUAUCAUGACAAAGAGUAAACGAAAUUACUACAACAUAAAAAAAAUACCGACAUGAAUAAUAAUAUGUAUAUCACUUGCACAUUUAAAUCAAACAUCGCAGCGAUGAAACAACUGCGCAGUUAAAUCUACCUGAUCAACACAAUUAUAUAUGAUGUUUUCCAUAACAAAAUCGAAAAAUAUAUGACCUAACUCACACAAAUAUAUGACCCCGUCGGCCUCUGGUGUCGUGGGUGUCGUGUCGGGGCCGGGGUGCCGUGUCGGGGUCGGGGUGCUGUUUCGGGGUCGGGGUGUCGGGGUCGGGUGUGGUGUCAGGGUGUCGGGGGUCGGGGUCGGGGUGUCGUGCCGGGGNNNNNNNNNNNNNNNNNNNNNNNNNNNNNNNNNNNNNNNNNNNNNNNNNNNNNNNNNNNNNNNNNNNNNNNNNNNNNNNNNNNNNNNNNNNNNNNNNNNNNNNNNNNNNNNNNNNNNNNNNNNNNNNNNNNNNNNNNNNNNNNNNNNNNNNNNNNNNNNNNNNNNNNNNNNNNNNNNNNNNNNNNNNNNNNNNNNNNNNNNNNNNNNNNNNNNNNNNNNNNNNNNNNNNNNNNNNNNNNNNNNNNNNNNNNNNNNNNNNNNNNNNNNNNNNNNNNNNNNNNNNNNNNNNNNNNNNNNNNNNNNNNNNNNNNNNNNNNNNNNNNNNNNNNNNNNNNNNNNNNNNNNNNNNNNNNNNNNNNNNNNNNNNNNNNNNNNNNNNNNNNNNNNNNNNNNNNNNNNNNNNNNNNNNNNNNNNNNNNNNNNNNNNNNNNNNNNNNNNNNNNNNNNNNNNNNNNNNNNNNNNNNNNNNNNNNNNNNNNNNNNNNNNNNNNNNNNNNNNNNNNNNNNNNNNNNNNNNNNNNNNNNNNNNNNNNNNNNNNNNNNNNNNNNNNNNNNNNNNNNNNNNNNNNNNNNNNNNNNNNNNNNNNNNNNNNNNNNNNNNNNNNNNNNNNNNNNNNNNNNNNNNNNNNNNNNNNNNNNNNNNNNNNNNNNNNNNNNNNNNNNNNNNNNNNNNNNNNNNNNNNNNNNNNNNNNNNNNNNNNNNNNNNNNNNNNNNNNNNNNNNNNNNNNNNNNNNNNNNNNNNNNNNNNNNNNNNNNNNNNNNNNNNNNNNNNNNNNNNNNNNNNNNNNNNNNNNNNNNNNNNNNNNNNNNNNNNNNNNNNNNNNNNNNNNNNNNNNNNNNNNNNNNNNNNNNNNNNNNNNNNNNNNNNNNNNNNNNNNNNNNNNNNNNNNNNNNNNNNNNNNNNNNNNNNNNNNNNNNNNNNNNNNNNNNNNNNNNNNNNNNNNNNNNNNNNNNNNNNNNNNNNNNNNNNNNNNNNNNNNNNNNNNNNNNNNNNNNNNNNNNNNNNNNNNNNNNNNNNNNNNNNNNNNNNNNNNNNNNNNNNNNNNNNNNNNNNNNNNNNNNNNNNNNNNAAAGAGGGGGCCGUUAGGUUUUUUCUGAGCAGCUCGUUAGUGGGGCCCACCUCUCUCUUUGUCGUCCGCCAGCUAACGGCAAAAAUUCUUUGCCGUCCGUUUUCUGUAAGCGGACAGCAAAGACCUUCUUUGCCGUCAGCCAGCAGACGGCAAAGAAUUGGCGACGGCAAAUAAGGUAAUUCCAGUAGUGUUUAGUCCCUCUGACCUCCCCGUAGUGCUUGUAAAGGGGAAAAACAGUUCCGGAAGAACGUUGGAGCCCAGGUUUCACGAGUCUUCCACAUGUUGCAUAGAUGCCUAUUGUCAACCAGGUCGAAGCAAUGUAUCAUGUGCUGCCAAUUCUCUGCAAAUUCAUCAACCGUGUCAGAAUCAUUGAUGCAAGUGUAGAAAGCUUGCUCAAAAACCUCAUCCCUACUCAUUAUCCUGCCCAACUUCUCACGCGCUUUUCGUUGGACGUGCCAUUUGCAGCAUCUAUACACCGUAUUGGGCAGCACUUGAGAUAGGGCAGUUUCCAUGGCCUUGUCCUGGUCGGUCAUAAUGUUCAAUGGGUAUUCAUUGUUCAUCGCAAGCAAAAAAUGCUGGAACACCCACUUGAAAGUUCAAUCUGUUCAUUUGACAGCAAUGCACAACCCAGCAACAUUGUUUGCAAGUGGUUGUUCACUCCAACAAUUGGAGCAAACGGCAUGUUGUAUCGAUUUGUGCAAAAUGUUGUAUCAAAGAAGAUACAAUCUUUGUACUUGGGGUACAAUGCCCUUGUCCUCCCAUCCACCCAAAAGAGUCCUGUGACAGAGUUGGUCUCCUUGUCAACUGUUUUUGCAUAGUAGAAUUGAGGGUUCUCAGCUUGCCGCCUCUCAAAGUACUGAAUUGUGAAAUCCAUGUCUCGGAGGUUUAGGUUUUGUCACAGCUUGGACCGAAAGUUUGAAACAUCCCUCUUGACAUAUGGUAGUAUCCUGCGGUCUCCGCCACGCACCCUUCUAAGCAUUCCCAUGCACGAAAAAGUUGAGAAGUUUACAUCAUGCAUAGUCAUUAUGAGAUCCUUAUCUUCUUCCAGGAUUUUGCGGUGUGAGCGGUAGUAGCGUACAAGCUCCGCUGUGGCAUUAGAGGGUGCGUAUGCUCUGCAACAAAAUGUGAUACAGCCCAUUUAUUGCCUUUGAUCCCAACAAUCAGGUGAGCUUUGCAAUCAUGUCGCAGCAGCCGAUUCUUUUGACGCUUGCUGCCGACAUCCAUUUCAAACCAAUUCUGUUUGCUAGACGAUGCUGCUCCCAUUGAGAUCCCUUCAUAAGAAGUGCUACUGUCCCCUUUACUUUCCGGCUUCCCUGCGUGCACACACUAGAAAACCUUCUUGAUAAGUGUCGGAGGACCUCUCUUUUGGCUUUUUUAGAAGCGCAAAUGCAUGUGCCAAAGCCCAUCUUGAAUGCAUAUUCAUUGUAAAAUUCUUUGGCAUCAUCAAUAGAGUCAAAUUCCAUGCCAACAUAGGGCAUAAGCGGCUGAGAUGAAAUAUCAUCAUCCUCUUGAUCAUCAUCAUGCAUUGCAGCGGUUGAGUUGUGCCCGGCAUAUGAAGACAUUCCUCCAUUUAUUGCAACAUGUGGUUGUGCAUAGCUCUCCUCACCUCCUGUCUCUUCACCAGCACCCUAAAUGUCCAACAAAAGUCAAUACAUCAGGGAUUUUAGUACUAGUACCAUUUGUCUUCUAUGCAACAGUAUUGUAAAUGCUCAAUUAUAUCAGUUAGUAAUUACCAUUUCAACAGAAGAAGGAAGAAGCAAGAAGCAAUCAUGCACAAUUUUUCAGUUCAACACUUCAUAGUGGAAACAAUGGUUUCUGGAUUUUUCAACAACAACAAUCUCAAUCUACUGCACCACUGUAAUCAUCAAGGCAAUGAAAACUAAACUUUUCUGAACUUCUUCAUUUUUUUUUUGCAGAAGGAGUUAAGUUAAUGAAACUAAACUUUCUGAACUUUUGGUAUUUUUUUGCAGCAGCCUACAGUUUUUGUUUCUGAUAUUUUUUUCAAAUGCACCACUGGAAACAUAAUACUACUAAUACUAAUGAAACUGAACAUUUCUGAAAAUUCUUUCUGAAUUUUUUUCAUCGACAGUAUACUGAAGCUGCAUUACCAACUGAAGCUCCAUUACUAACUGAAUCUGCUGCAUUACUAACUGAAGCUCCAUUAAAAUUCUUUAACUGAAUCUGCUGCAUUACUAAUUGAAGCUGCAUUACCAACUGAAGCUCCAUUACUAACUGAAUCUGCUGCAUUACUAACUGAAGCUCCAUUACUAACUGAAUCUCCAUUACUAACUGAAGCUCCAUCAACAGUCAAAUUACUAACUGAAGCUCCAUUGCAACAAAUAAUGCAAGCAUGUGCGCUAGGGGUUUUCUAAGGAACUUACCCAAUAUGCAGAGGAAUUGACUGUAGCUGCGGAUGGUGGUUUUUCUGGGAAGAACACCGCCGGAUUUCGGUAGCUGCUCGCCGCAGGUGCUUCGUAGCUCGCCGGAGUUGGAUCCGUCCACCUGGAUGCAGCGGAUCCAUGGGAGGUUGGAGCUGAGACGGAGGCGAGCAUAUCCCUGUAGAUAUGUUGCGCCAUCAGGGUCGAUGCAGGGGUCGGGGGAGACGCGCUGCGAUGAUUCGGGGCAGCGGGGCAUUGCCGGAUGUCCUGCAGAUGUUCAGUUUUGGCGGCGGAGCGGCGCCGGAGGGUGGGCCGCUGGGGGUGGGGGAGCGGCAGCCGUCACCGCCCGCGAUCUGCGGGGGCCAGGUGAGGUGCAGUAUGUUCCGCCUUUGUUGCGUUGCAGCAUAAGCGUCGUUGCAACGGUUUGUCGAUGGCAACGGCCGCUCCUGGCCCAGUUUCUAUCUGGAUCGGAUGGCGGGGACGCGUCCGAUCGAACGGCUAUCGAGGCGACUUAAAAUUGGCAGAAAUAAGCUGACUUAUUUGUAGCAUCCGCCAAACAAAUAGCACCAAAUGGUCGCUACUGCUGAAAGACUGGUCGCUCAAAAAAAUCAGAAAAUCCCAAAAACGCAAAAGUUCAAAAAAAAUUCGGGAACUCAGAAAAGUUCAUGCAUUUGACAAAAAUCAAAAAAGUUCACGAUUUGGAAAAAAAGUUUCCACGAAUAUGGAAAAAAAGUUCAUGAAUUCAAAAAAAGUUCAUCGAUAAUGAAAACAAGUUCAAAUUAUUUUUAAAGUUCAAUAAUUUUAUAAAACUUCAUCAGUUUUGAAAAGGAGUUAAAAAUUUGGAAAAAAAGUCCAUCGAUUAUGAUAAAAAGUCAUCAAUUUUGAGAAAAAAACAUCGAUUUUGGAAUUAGUUCACAAACUUUUAAUAAUAUCUCAUCAAUUUGGAAAAAACAUAAAUUUUGAAAAAAGAUCAUGAACUUUAACAAAGAUUUCAUCAGUUUUGGAAAAGAGUUAUUCAAUUUUAUUAAAUGUUUCAUCGCAUUUGAAAAUAAUUUGUGCAUUUUGAAAAGUAAAUAUAAAAAAGGAAAAGGAAAUAAUACAGAAAAUAGAAAAUAGAAAAGAAAAAGAACAAAAGAAAACGGGUCCAGGAAAAACCAAAAUAAAUUAAAAAAGCAAACAAACCGGCCGGGAAACUUCCCAAAACCGGAAGGGGUCUCUCCCGUGGCACGCAUAGAUGGGUCGGCCCAGGUAAGACUCUUCAGCUCUAGUUAAUAAAUUGCACGUUAACGGGAGCUGAAGGCGUCAAAUAGGAAAUGCCACGUCAAUGAUCCGGGAAAUUGUUGGAAAUUGAGCGAGCGCCCUUCUAUACAAGAGGAUACACGCAACAACUGCUGCGUGAGUUUUCUGUCGGGUGCGAGUUUACAAAGCUUGCGGCAGACUUGUAGUCAGCACGUGUCGCUCCUAUGGUUCCCUUCUCAUUUUCUCCUAGCCACCAUGCAUCAUACAGUAGGACCCAUACAGUAAUACUCCCUCCGUCCGAAAAAGGAUGUCCCGUGCGUAAUACAGUGCUUAUUUUGUAAAAAGGCCCGCGUACACUCAAAAGCUAUGAAAAAAGGUCCCCGUCUCCUUCCUUCGUCCCCCGACCGUCGCCCCCCGCCAUCCCGCGGCCGGCAACUGACGUGAAACAAAUGUUCUGCCAUCAGGUAUAUAAAUAGUAAAAGCGAAAAAAAGAGUCCCGCCACCUACUAAAAUACUGACAUCUCAGACUCACCAAGUUGUCAACGUAGUAAAUAAACAAGUGAAUUAAACAAGAAAAGGCUGUCACCGACAAUUUCUUUUUUUUUUAGGUCGAGCAAAUAUAAACUGGGCUUGGCCUGCCCAGCCUAGUACAAAGAGCAGCUAAAAGAAGAGUACCAAAAGGUUGAGAGCCAGCUUCCCGCAAAGAAAAAAAAAGGUCCAGGGUCUUCCAUCAGGCGAAGAUCUUCUCCGGUGAGCGCUGCGGCAUGGACUUCCCUGGUGAAGCUUUGCUUCGCCCGAGCCUUAAAGCUGCGCCCUGCCAUGUAGCUUGCGACGGUGACCGUCGCAUUCCCUGUGCUCAGCCGGACAGUCAUCAUGAUCCUUGCUGCUGAACAGUGUUGCCGGUGUGGAGGGCAGAGGCCAUUCAGUGGAUGCCACACAGAUUGGCUGGGUAUUUUUUGCAGACUCGGUUACAUCCCACAGGCACCGCUGCUCGGAAAUGCAGGGAUGGAACUGAACAUGUCUUGGCCUGCACCACGCCUUCCACCCUCUGCUGACCAAACUCUUAUUAAGCUGGUUGAAAGGUUUCUGCUUUGGCAAAAUUUGCGCCGUAUUCCUGGAAGAAGAGAAACAACAAGCCAAGCACUGAAACUCUGGAGGGCAAGACAUCAAUUUCUUGUUAAUAAUUAAGUUGAGAUAGUGUUUCAUGGAGCUUUUUUGAACAUAAUUAACAAGGAAGCUAUUCUAUACCGAUCAACUCAAAAAAAAAAUGGUUGCACAGGUAGUCUACCUCUAAAUGAUGGCACACAUUAUAUGUACAAGCAUGCAAUCCGAUUGAAUCAUACCUGACAGAUGUGUUUCAUGCUUCCAGGUUCACCUAUCCACCAAGAGUCUGUCCUGAACUUUCAGACGUUCUACAUAAGAUGUGUAAACAAAAAGUUGUAUCAUCAGAACAAUGACUUAGAUGCCAAAGUGAAGGUAGUUAUAUGUGAUACAAGAGUAGUUUUUAUAGAAUUUUACCUGUUUGGUGGAAAAUGUCCAUAUAAAUGAUCACAGGCUGCACCGUGGAUAUUGUCGUAUAUACCAGCUGUGCCUCACUGUAUACAGCAUAGUGUUUUGGUACCAGACUGACCCACCGUUGGAAAAAUACAACAGCAGUGAAUCAUGCUGGGACACUAAAUCCAGCUAUAACCAACUUCUUUCUCAGUGGCAGUUCUCCUAAUUUGACUUCUUAGACUAUCAAUGACGCCCCAUCUAUUUGUUGAUCCAUGUACACUGAUGAGGUGCAGAUAAGGCAUUUUAGCAGAAGGAUUUAUGGCGAUUAACUGACUUGCUGCAUGCUCUGCCAACUUAUCAUUGCCACUCAAUCUGCAGCUACUCAAGAGAGAGGUCCAUAUUGCUGAAUCAGGUUCAAAUGGCAUUGACUUAACUAACCCUUCGGCCUCCUCAACCAUGCCUCUCCUACAAAAUAGAUCAACCAUGCAAGCAUAGUGCGUUAUAUUAGGCACAAUUCCAUGAUCGCGCGUCAUCGUGUCAAAGAAAUGUCUUGCUUCCUCUAAAAGACUCAUGUGGUUACAUGCAGACAGUACACCAAGAAAUGUGAUAUCAUUGGGAUCAACUUGUGCCCUCUUCAUAUUCUCGAACAUUUCAAUAGCAUUUUCACCAAGGCUACUGAAUGCAAAUCCAUGAAUUAUUGUAUUCCAUGUAACCACAUCUCUCUUAAUCAUCUGAUCAAAAAUAUUUUGGGCUGUAACCAUUUCGCCACAUUUGCAAUAUAGGCUAAUGAGUGAAUUCUGAAUUGGUAAACAUAACUCGAGUCCAAGCUUGAUAGUUGCGGCAUGAAACUGCUGACCAUGAACAAUCAUAGAAUAGUGUGCAAAACAGCUUAUGAGGCUAGAAACAACUGACUCGCUUGGGCGCACAUAUGUUAAUAGCAUUUUCUUGUACAUCCCAAUUGCAUCAUCAGUUAAACCAUUUUGAGCGAGCCCAGUAAUUAAACAGCUCCAAGUUACUGAAUCACGAGAAGGUGAUUCAUUGAAGAGCCUGUAAGCUUCAGUAGCCUCGCCUUGAUGAAGAAAACCAGCUAUCAUCACAUUAUAAGUGACAACAGUCCUUUUGUUCAUCCUAUGGAAAAGGUCCAGUGCAUCAUCCAGAUAUCCUUCUUUCAUGUAUCCAAAGAGUAAAGAUGUGCAAGACAUUACAUCUGUUUGGGGCAUACUAUAAAACAUAUCCCGUGCUUUAUCUAGCAUUCCGUUGUCUACAAACCAUGACAUCAAAGCAGUAGCUGCUUCCACGUUCUUCUCAGGCAUCCUUGAGUAUAACUCAGUAGCAUCAGUAAUUCUUCCAUCUCUGAUAUAGCCAUUAAUCAUCGAGUUCCACGAGACCUUAUCUCUUUCAGUCAUGGAAUCAAAAAGUUCUCUAGCCUCAUCAAUCUUGUCUGCAUAAAUAUAGCCACAUAUGAUGGCAUUCCAUGAACCGACAUGCUUUCUGUCCAUUUUAUCAAACUCCAAUUGUGCUUCAUCCAUGUCCAAGGAGUUACAGUACAUCGCAACUAAUGAUGCCUCGAUAAUCAGGUCAAGAACAAAUCCACACUUCACAGAAAACCCAUGAAUGCAUCUACCUCCUCCGAUACUUUUCAGACCAGCAUACGCAUUCACAACCUUAACUAGAACUGCAUUUGUCAUUUCCUCCCCAUUCCGCAUCAAUCUUCUGAACAGUUCAACUGCCUCUCUGAAUCGCUGAUGGUGGACAAGCCCUCCUAUCAUGACACACCACGACACAGAAUUCUUCACGGGCAUCGAGUCAAACAGCUCCAACGCCAGCUCCACCUCGUGCACCGUAACAUAGCCCUUUACCAUGGCCGUCCAGGACACGACAUUGCGACCGGGCAUCUCAUCGAAAACCCUGCGGGCGUCUGCUACCCGAUGGUUCAUCACGAGGCCUGAUAGAAGAGCAUUCCACAAGGCCACAUUUGGCGUGUCGACGUCAUCAAAGACUCGCUGCAGGCAACCGAAAACCCCACAGUUGGCGUACAGGGUGACGAGAGAGGCGCCCACGAACACAUUACCCGUGGAGCAGGACUUGAGCGCGAGGCCAUGGACGCAUCGCCCCAGCUCCAGAGCCUCCAGCCGCGCGACGGCGGACAGCACGGUGGAGAAGGAGGUGUGGUCCGGCCGGAGCCCGCGACGCCUCAACUCCAGGAAGGCGUAUGCAGCCUCCUGGUGCGCGCCCUCCCGCGCGUGCGCGGCCAUGAGGGAGUUCCAGGACACCACGUCGCGCCGCGGCAUUCCGUCGAACACCUCUCGAGCAGCGCCCGGCCUGCCGGCCCUCAGGUGGGCGCCCAUCAGCCUGUUCCCGGAAGCGAUGCCCUUGUCGUGGGAGCAGCCACAGAGCGCGCGCGCCGCGUCCGCCAGCGACUUGGGAGGCCGGGAGUCCACCGUUCCGAAGACGCCGGCGCGCCGCGCCGUGACACGCAUGCCGAAGAAGCUCCCGCGGCGCUGGUAGGAGGCGCGAAUAGCAGUGUGCUCCUUUUUUUGGAGGAACAGCUUCGUAAAACAGCUCUUCAUGGGCCGCGCCACGAACAUGUAAUGUUUUUUCUUUUUAAUAUAAGUAUAUCAAAAUUUCUAUAUAUUAUCUACAAAAUUUAUAAAUCAGAUUUAAAAUAGAAAGUGUUAUGUGUUCACAUAUAUGCGAUAAUAAAUGUUCCUAUAUUUGAAAACAGUUGCUCACAAAAUUAGAAAACCGAUGUUCACAUGUGUGAAAAAAAUUGCUCUAUAUACUUCAGAAAAGCCAUUCAUGGAAUGAAAAGCUGUGAACUGGAUUUCCGCGGAUAACAGCAUGAAUGUGGAGGAGAUGCAAGCCUCAUGACAGGCCACAAGGUUGGACCCGAUAUUGCAAAAGUCGGGCAUGCGACUUACCUUUGUAUGUGCUUGACGGGUGGCUCUGUGCUAGUUUCCAUCAAAUAAAAAAUGGUUUAUUACUCUCGGCUUCGGCGUUAAAGAUGCACAGAAGAUACUGAAAAUUCGAGCAUGCCAGGGUGACUUCUACCUUUUUGCCUUUUUACUGACCUGUAGGUGAUGCCCACAGCCCACCUAAGAUGAUCGCGGAGUUGGAUGAGGAAGAAAUAAGCCGGGAACAAAAUGUUUGCCUUCUCCAAAGAAAAAAAGCAUACAAAUAUUUUGUUUUAACCAUGCAUAAGAACCGCAUGUGGUCUAUCAGGGAGAAGGAAAACCGGGGAAAAACCCCAAGGAGUACAGAAUACACGACCAGAUGAUUUGAAGGAGAACCUCGGCAAACUCUUCCAGACACACAGACAAGGAAAGGAAAGAAAGAAAAACAAAGAUUUUUAUCCGAUGAAUCAAUCAACUUCCUAGUAGGAAAAAAAAAUUCCCUUCAGGAAUACCUUGGAGGCAAAGAGGCCCUAAAUUCACACCAAGAAGUACACAGGCAUGUAAAAACUUGAGGGGGGGCUGUAAUUGCGUGGAGUUUAUUACGUGCCCGCUGUUGGAUCCGAUGCAAAAUUAAACGUCGCUUGGCUUCCCUGCCUUGCGCAUGCCAGCCAGGUGAGGGGAUCCCGAUCCGUGAUGGCGCGGUACUGUGGUUGCUGGUGCCUUGAUGAGGAUGCGUGGAGGAGGGAGCAGAGCAGGGGACACUGUGGCCGACGGCAACGUACCGCGAACUGUACGUACGUGACCGUGAGUGCGCCAUCGAUGCCAUGCCAUGUGCGCACACACACACGCUGACACGCACCUCACCAGCGUCGCGACUCGCGAGAGGCCACGAUCGGCGUACAUGGCCGCAUCAUCGAUGCGUGAAUUGAAGGCAGGCAGCCCCAAACCCAAACCAGCCCAGCAGCCCUGCCUGCCACCGCCCGCCCCAGCAGCAGUCGAUGGAGAGGACGGCCAACGGUGCCGCCCGCCCGAUCCGAUCCGAUCGUACGGGUCGAGUCGGCCGAGCCGAGGGAGGGGCCGGGGCGUCCUCCCUUCAUUCUUCAAUGAUGACACCUACGUGCGUGCGUACGUUGAUGCCCUCCACUCCACUGUGCAUCCCCAUGCCGCCGGAGUGCCGGGCACUGGUCACCCAUAAAACCCUCCGGCAUCGCCAUCGAGUCCACCAUAAACUCCUCCGUCGUCCCAGUAGGCCAGCACGGGGGGGCUCCGGCCGGCUCCAUCAUCAAGGAGGUUAGGUUCCUUCCACCGGCAGGCCCGGCACGGCGGCUGGUGGGCCGUGAUGGGUCAUGGGCGCGCGCCGGGCGGUCAAGGUCGGGUUCGGGUUUGGGUCUGUUUGUUGCUGGCAUGACACGACGGGCCAGGCACACCAAGUGCGGGCGGGCGGGUUUCCUUGAGCAGUUGGUCGGUCUGCGGCGUCGCCUGCGCACCUAACGCCAGCUGUUAUCAUCCCACACAGGCGGCUGCCAAAGUGGCAUGCCCCAACACAUCUGUUUGCUGGUGAUGAUUCCGCACCAACACAUCCGGGCACGCAGUGCCUGACCCAAUGCGCGCCCGCCGCUGCAUGCCAUUGUUCACGGCCGGUAAGGGAAUCUACCUAGGGGUACCAGCUGCCGCCGCUGCGUCAAAUCCGACGUCCAACCUGCGUGCUACGAACCACCACUCAUGAGAGCGGCAUUGCACAUGGGAGCUUCAGUUUUUUUUUCCCCCGAAAAAGAGACUAGGAACGCAGUCUUCACGUCUCCACCUCCCAGUCACGCACAGCAAGGAGCUGUGCUGUGGUCGUGCCUUCUUGUUCACCAAUCAAAGCAGCAUCGCAGCGACCAAACGCCAGCCAGAGCCAGGCAAGAGACAAUCCUCCGGAAAUUCACUGCGCCAGCUGCGCACUCUGAGACAACUUCAACCGACACCCCACAAGAAAGAGCCCGUCUUCUAUCCCUCAAAAAAAAAAAAAACGAGCCCGUCUCCUCGGAGUAGCGAGCACAACAUAACUAGGGUCAAGAAAUAAAGCCCAGAGUAAAAUCAUUUGACAGAAACAACGACGGACCAUUUUCAAGCAUGGGAGGAAACGCAGGAGAGCUGCGCUGCGAUUCGAUUCAACCAACAAGACAAGAGAAGAGAGGGGGGUACUAGGUAGGAAUGUACAAAUCAUCAGGCUGUUACAAGGGAUAGGAUUUCGCCUCCACACACACAUCUGGGCUAACUUAGUACACAAAUUAUUUAUCCAUUUCGCUCGGCAUCCAAACACAUGUCAAAAAACACAAACAAUCCCAGCCGCCGCUGCCUGCAUUCUUCCUUCUUCACCAGUCAGCUCAAAUCACUAUCACCACACACAAGCCCCUGCCUUGUCCCAUAGUCGAAAUUCCACCAUUCUCCAUCCUCCAAAUUACUGAAGUACCACCAGUGAAGCUCCUCGUUCCACCCAAGGCUCUCAAAUUCCACCAUCUUCUCCCAAAACAGUUUGAACAAGCUGCCACCAUGUUCGUUGCAGUCCCCGAAUCAGAAUGUGUGUGUGGCAUAUAAGAUGCAGGUUGGGCUAUGCGGCUUGGCUUAUCCCCGGCACAAAAUAAUUCCUUCAAUCAACCAUUUAUCCCCGGCAAGAUUAGAUUUUGCAUCCCAUAAGAACCCAUGCUUGCCGUAUUUAACAUCUGAAGCGGUUAUGCACUCUCGACCGGGAACAACCCAAGGUUUCCUUCGCCAUGCGCUCGCUUUGGCCGCCACGUUGUAUGAGCCUUGACCACAUCCGCUCCAGACUCCAGCUGGAGCAGAUGGUCGCACUGGAUGGCAGAGUCUGGGCUGCCAUCCACGCAUUCACCCGAAACGUUGGUAAGUGACUGCAGCACGCUAUCACGGCAACACUCCUUCCUGUAAUCCAGUGUCAUGCUUGCAAGCUCAUGCUUUUCCAGUAUGGAAAUCGGAGCACUCUGAAAAGGGAAUAAAUAAAGCUCAGGAAUCUUAAGCAG